RNAcentral lists this long non-coding RNA (87083 nucleotides) under Jatropha curcas. Its description in RNAcentral is "long non-coding RNA (JCUR_LNC000862)". Lineage: Eukaryota; Viridiplantae; Streptophyta; Magnoliopsida; Malpighiales; Euphorbiaceae. The record is from RNAcentral.
UAUAAAAUAAGUUUAAUUUAAAAUAUAAUAAUAUGAUAAAUUAAAGACAAAUUAAUCUAAGAUUUUAAUAUGUUUUAAAUAAUAUCUAAUGGCUAUUUUAAUAUUGAAAUAAUUUUAGAUACCAUAAACAUUCAAAUAAUAAUAAUAAUAAUAAUAAUAAUAAUAAAACAAUCAUAAAAAGUGUCAGCAUGUUUUGAAAAAUUCAAAACACGCAUUGAACGCAAUGAUGCAGGUUGAGCACGUCCAUUUCUCAAGGGAAUAGACUUCGACAAAUUGAAAUUAGUCUAUUCAUUUUCAAAACUGAAUAAAACUCAAGCGCAAGAGAAAUGUUGAACAGAGAAAAAUUAGUAAAGUAAAAACGACACAAUUAACUUUAUUACACUCAAACUCAACAAUUGAAUAAGCUUGAAAACGAAGAUAUGAAGCUUGCCAAUUUGUGUUGCUUGGCAUCUAGGUUGCAAAUAUUCAAAAAAAAAAAAAAAUUUUUGAAAUAUUUGCAAAUGGAUUCUUUAUUGAAACUGAUUCAUUAAUCUUCAUUUACCAUUUUAUAUAGAUGUAUCCUUUUUAUCAUGGUCUGCCUGUAUAAAGAAAAAGCAAAAGGAAGACUUUUCACAUUUGUUUUAUGAUCAAAGGCAAUCGGAAAACCUUGUCAGGUUAUCAAUUGUAAACAACUUCUCCAGCAGGUCAUGAGCUAACCAGAUGUGAAUAUCAGGAAAGAGAAGAAAUGACCUGGUUUGCUCAUCUCUUUAAUUUAUGAUAAACCAGUAACUGACCACUUUCAUCUGCCACUGCCACCACACCUGACCCUGAAUCAUCCGCAGCAAUGCACGAAACGCUUCCGCCUAACAACACAGGAAAAGGAGUUUAUAAUGGAAAUAAUCAAAAAUUUCCAACCAAAUAACUGAUGUUUCAUCUUUCUUGAUGUUGGACACUGUUGAAAGGAAGGUAUUAACGCAUUUGGAUAUGUUUAUAGCUAGCCACCCAUAUUUCUAAAAUAUAGAUGUACAUGUCAAGAAGGCCAGUAAUUUUAAUAGAUUAAUGUAACAUACAUAUUUGGCGUUCAAAAGAAGUGGUCUGACAUCAAACCAGAUGAAAAACAUAGCGCGCAUGCAGGAAGGAUAUCUCAGAAUUUCCUUUUAGAUAAUAUAGUAGGCUAUAGGAACCUUAAUUGCCAAAACUGAAGUAUACCUUUGAAUUUAUGCAGAGUGCCAAGUUUGUCUCCUGUCAAUAAUUCCCACAUAUACACAAGUCCAUCAAGUGUACCAAUGAUUCCAUGACCAGCUGAUGUACCAAUGGCAGAAACCCUGCAAGAGAUUUCCAAAGUCAAACUUAUGGCAUCUCUCGAGUUGAUUGUAGUUCAGAUGCAUGAAAGAACUUUUGUAGAUUCAGCCAUAAGCACGUAAAUCUAUUUCUUUUGGCACUAAUUGCUUUUACCAUCAAAUCCACAGCCAGUGAUGCAUUGUACAAUAUGCUUCUCGUUUCUUUGAAUUUGUCAAACUAAUUUCGUGAAAAUGCAGAGGGAUCAGAUUUAUAGUCCAAAAUGAGGUCGUCAUACUUCAAACUAAAUUUGUUUCCAUCAACUUAUAUCCAAAGCAGAAGUUAAUUAGAGAAAAAAAUUUGCAAUCUUUGGACAGAAUCACUCAAUUUAAUAUUAGGAAAUAAAUUUUUGUGCACCUUGUAUCUAAUGCACUUCCCAAGAUUAUUGUAUUUUUCACCAAUAGAGCUAGCCUCCACCAUCCAAUUGGAUUUAUCUGGGAAGCACUUGAUUCAUACUUAUGCUGAGCAUCAGUGUUGAGGGCAGUUGAGACAAGACACCAGAUGGCAACAUCUUCCCCCUUUAAAGGAGGAAAGGAAUGGUUCUUGCUGUGUUCUGAAAACUGAACUUUUGUUGCAUCAAUGAGUCUAUUUAUGUGAGCUGCAACAUUAGGGUAAUUGGAAGCAUGGACUUCUCUUUGCCAACUAAACCAACUGAUAGGACAGAAUUGACAAACUGAAGUGCCUGGAGUAGAGAAUCUUGAGACAAAGAUACGUCUUGAAAUAUCCCUGAAAGUACAAAAUUAGUAAUCAGCUACUUAUGAAAUUGAUGCAAACGUAAAAGAUAUUACCCUGCAGUUAUUCCAUGAGGAAGAACAGUGAAAAGGAAAAAGUAAAAUAUCGGAUUGGAGUGCGAGGAUGGGGACCAAAACAAAGUGCAAUGCUGCACAACAAAUAGGGUCAUUAAUUGCAGAAGUCAUAACUUCCAAUUGAUGAAAGAAGACAUCAUGUAAGCAGCAUACCAUAAAGUGAAUUCCCCAAAGCCAUUAUGCCCAAUAACUAGAGAAGCACAUUCCGGAAUUCUCUUCAACUCCAUAAUGCAAGGAGAUAUGUAAUCGUUAGAUGUUAUGGUGAACUCUUCUGUUGGAGCACUGCAAAUUGUGAAAACAGAAAAAUAAUAAAUUUCUUCAUAAGGAGUAGAUGGCCACAACAGAAAGAAAUAUUAGGUUUAGCAAAGAUGAAACAAGUACAUUACAUCAUAUAUAUAAAAAGCCUAGUAAAAUCAUAUACAUCUUCAUUAAAUAACAGCUAACCUUAAUGAAACAAUGAUUGCAUAAAACUCAUAAGCUAUUACUGUGAAAAAUAUGAUGAGCUCAGGAAGAGAAAAAAAAAUAUUGGAUUCUUCAACGCUUCCUCAGACAGGGACCAUAUAGUAAAGCUCAAAAAAAAAAAAAAAGCAACGGAGGCCAAGGGUCAAAAUGUUGGAGUGAUUGAAGAAAGAAGCAAAAGUGAGCAUGAGGAAGCUGUUUCCAGUAUGACUUGAGUACAUACAAUUGCAGAUUUAUUGCACUUACAAUUUAAAAUCAUAAGGGCACUAAGCCCAUGAGUUAACAGUAAUAAAAAGAAAAAGCUUAAACUAAAAUAUUUGGGAAUACCAAUAAACAAAACAAGGCCAUGACAACAUUCAAAGAACUGAAGUAAAAUCAGGUUUUGCAUUCUCUUAAUAAAUUCACCUCCAUGUUGAAUUCAUGGUCCACAAAUUUAGUCCCCUACUCUCUCCAGCAGCAAUGAUAUGGUCAGGUUCACACACCAAUAUGCAUUGCAAACUGUCAGUUGUUCUCAAUUUUAGUAGGACUGAAACAUAUCCAUCUUGUACUUGUACAAUCUUCACUGUACUGUUCUCAUUGCAGUCUGUUGUACAUGUUGAGCAUAGACAAUCUAUUCUUCCUUCCCUGGAUUCAUAUAUAGCAUGUUACUACUCAGAAAUUUACUCUUCGGGAGAUUUAAUUUUGAGUAACACAAAGACAGAAGUAAACUACCUGCAAUAGGGUGUCCUUGUGUUGCCAAGUAAAACAAGACAUUUUCCAUCUGGUGUCAGUUGCAAACCAGAUCUUUCAAAUGCAAUCUAGUAAGGAUUAAUACAGUUGAGAAAUUUUGACAAUAAGUGGCAGCACAUCAACCAAAGAAGUCAAUAAAUAUAAUGACAGAAAUGAUUUAAUAUCUUACUUCUCUACCAAAAAUAUCUGUUGAAGAUGGCCAGGCUACUGACGUGUGACCUACAAAAUAUGGGCAUCCUAUUUUUGGCUCUUCAACUGCUAACUUGUAAAGAAACAGAGUUCUGUUCUUAUCUACCGGAAGGCCACACACAGCACAAAUAUAGAUUUCAUUCCCUUUUCUGCUCAGCAACAGUAACAGAACAGGCAUGGGGUGGAAGUAGCAUCCCAGAAACUCAACAGCAUCCUCCAAUUCAUUGUUAAGCUCCAAAUUCCUCUGUUUCUUCAGUUCUGAACUGCCUUGAACUUCCUUAGAAAUGAGUGUCUUAUUGUGACAGAAUAAUGUUCCUUGUUUCUCAGAUCCAGGAUUAUUAGCAUCUGAAGUAGUUUCAUCCCCAACCAGCCCCACUUUAAAAUGUGGUUUGGGUUUUUCUGUAGAUCGAACAAAAAGAUUUGAUGUAUUCUGGCCUUCUGAAGGGCAGUCAGAUUUUUGAGUUUGUGAUAUCAAAUGUGCAUGGCUAUCAAACACAGGGUUGGAUGUUAUAGUAGUUUUGUCUGUAUGCAAAUCAUGGAACUGCUCUCCAACCCUCGUAUCAGCACUUAACAAUUCCUUUUUAUGUAGUCUGUCGACAGAAAAGCUCGUAUAGGACGGCUCUGAUUGAAGCAAAGCUCCUGUAGUUUCUGGGAUAUAACCAUCUACAAAUUUUCCACAUCCAACACUUUCUAAAAGUGAAGGACUAUGUUUUCUUACCAUAGGGUCUGUAUUUGGGACUUUUUUUCUGGUAUAUACCUUUUUUGGUUGACUAAUGGAUAUAUUGCCGAUUCCAGAAGCCCCAGUAUUAGUAACAGUAUCCUUCCUUAAUAAGUGCACAGAACUUCCCAAGGCUCCGGCACUAGCAUCACUUGUACCUACAGCUAAAAGAAUUAAUUGGCUUAGUUGAAAUCUGGGAUCAAAAAUCUUAGAAAGCAUAAAUUUAUAGAGUUUAAAAUCAUUCAAUCGGUUCAUAUACCGAUUUAGACAAAACUACAUUGCACUAACUACAGAUCUGGAAUGUCAGGCAAUUGGAAAGGUACUACUGGGUUCCCGAGAUAUAUUAUUAAUGAAAAAAAUAAUAAUAAUAUGGAACUACACUUCUUUCAGGAGACAGAAGGUUAAAAAUAUCAAUUUUAGUUACGAACAUGUUCUAAUUGUGUGACAAAGAAAUGCAGAAUUUAUUGUCAAGGAUUCCAUAAUUAAUACCUUCAUUACAAUGAGAUGCAGCUUUGAAGUCGUCAGAAUGGAUCUCACCACCUAAUGAAUUUUCAACCAGAUUUUUGCAAACAUCCUGGUUUACUUCAGAGGGAACUUUCUUGCAGAUAGACAUGCAACCUAAAAUAGACUCAGAGAAUUGUAGAUCACCGUCCUGGGACCUUUUACUCAAAUUCAUUUGCAUUUUAUCAUCAUGUAAUAUAUCUCUACCCCCUCUAGUCUCAACAUGAGAAACCCAUGACUCCUUUACAUUGAUGUUAAUGAGCUGUUUCUCAAUCUCGGGAUGAUAUGCAUCUUUACCAAAACUAGGUUGAUCAGCUUCCACAUUAUUGGAAGGUAAUAUUAGUUGGUCCAUUAUAUGAUCCUCCCGUUGUUCGUCAUCUAAGGUGUCAAGAACAUUAGACUUGGUAAAUUCAGAACUUUUUAGGACAGAGUGAUCUACACCAGCAAAUUGAGCCUCCACAAAGAAGCCAGUUUCAUUAUUUUCUUCAUGAAGUGCAGGUAUAGAAGGCAAAUUUUCUGGGGGGCUAACUAUUCUCUUUUUCUUGCUUGAGGUUUUCUUGAGCAGAGGAAUAGCUUGUGGAAGUAGAACUGUCAUCAUUGACUUGGCAAUAUCUUGUCCAACUGAAUCGAAAUCGCUCCUUUCAGAACUCAAAUGUGAACUGGAUGUGCCCAUUUCUUCCUUUGGGUAUGGUUUAUUCGCCAAUUCUUCAGAAUCAGCCACUUCGGUUGCCAUUAUCUCUUCCUUAAUGACACGAGUAAAUUUAUCGCAAGAUCUAGGACCAGAAUUGGCAGUAUCUGCAUCAAAGUAGUGUCAGACACAGAAGAAAGGAGGUUUAUCAAAUGAAUUAUAUUAUCAAGAUGCAAAAUGAGAGCUCAGGAAAUUGCAUUUGAGCAACUUAGCACAAAAGUGGGAAGGUUGAGGAACACCUUGCACAAAGUCUAGUGUGUCAGGAGCCCAUAGAUCAAUAUCAUGGACGCUUGGAGAUUCUUCUGGACAUAGUGCACCUAAAGCUUUGAUCUCCAUUGAUGCUGGAAAAUUGAACCCUUCCAAUUCACUUUCUCGCACCCUAUCAAGCUGUGAGACAUUAAGAAUAUUUCUCAUAGAAACACCAAUUGAGUCUGAGAGCAUGAUUUUUCUGACAACUGAGAGAAAUAAUAAUUUGUUGAAUAGGCAUGCAAAAGAAUGCCCUUGACUUUGAUGCGAACUAUAACUCAUAUGUAGGAAGAAAAGAAUGUGAGCACAGCUCACAAAUAACAAGAUAUCAACGUCUCAACCAAUUCAAAGCUUUUAGACAAAAAAGUUCAGAGGUAAUAGAGGGUUUGUACUUACAGGAUUUUCUUCUGCACUAAAUUUUUGGACUACAGUGGAUUUAUUAUCUUCAGAACUAGCAAGCUUGCUUUCUUCAUAGACAGGGACAGUUUUCUCCCCAAGAUGAUCAGAAUAGUCAACAGACUUCGAGGACAGACCAUCUUUGGCUAAGUGACUAUUUUCUCCUCCAGUUGCAUAAUCUGAUUGCACUCCUGUAGAUGAUGCUCCUAGAAGUCUACAAGAGUCAUCCUUCAGAUGAAAACUACAAGUAGAGGGAGAUGAGGAACUGCCUUGCUUAGGAUUCCCAUUUAUUGAAUUUGAUGGCUCAACAAUGCAUUUCAGGUUUCCAGCACGCAGUCUUUUAAGACCAUCAAUACCUAAAGACUUGGGAUCUAUAAUUUUAAACCUCUUACUUCUUUUCCCCGUAACUUGUGGUCUUGACAAAUACGGUAACAGGUCAGAACAAGUGUGUGAAUCCUGACAUUGAUUAUUAUGCUCCAUAUUGGAAGCCCCAUUGCAGGUCCCAGAAGGUAACAAACUGUGUUCUGCUACUCCAUUGACAUUUGCCACCAGUUCCCGAAGUAACCUUUGCACAAAUGGAUUUCUGAACCCAAAGAACUGCAAUCUCAGGCAUAACAAAAAUAAAUAAAUAAUAACUUAGCAAAAGUAUCCCGGUCCUUUUAGUUACAAUGUUAGACUUUUGGAACUGGUGAUUUUGGAAAUAAAUACAGAACAAAAACGAAAUGUGCAUCCUGCUUGCAAGCAGGCCAAGCUGUUAAAAAUGCACGCAAAGCCAAGAUCAUCAGUUACUCCAUUCCUUAACAUAAAAGACUCAAAUUGAACACUUAACAUGGGCAUGGUUUCUUGGUUUUCACAGUCCAAACAUAAUAAAGAUUACAAGAAAAAAUAUGCACAUCCAAUACCCACAACAACAUAGACAUGAAGAAUCAAGAAGGUACAACUAAAUAAUCAAUAUAAGCAUUUAUCACAAAGGUUGCAAAUAACAGAAUACCAUGAAUCCAGAAGUGCAGAAUACUCAAAACAUUACUUGCACACAUUUAGUUCAAUAAUUCAAUAACAUGGUUACAUAAGUCUGAUCGUUAUGAUUUUCAAUAUCGCAUUCACAUUCAUAUAUAUACAUAUAUAUACACACACAUUCAAAUGUCACAAACUCAAGCAAUAGAGGAGCAAUAUGACAAAUUUUAAAGCUUGCAGUUAACCUUAGAUGAAUUCAAACUUUACAAUGAAAUAAAUGAAACAUAAUUUUCACAUAAGAAUUACAUAAUUCAGCUCCACAAAAUAAAUCUGACCAGCUUAAAAAUGAAAUUUUGUUGCUUUUGUUCAAAAUUCGCUGUUUGAAACAGAAAAUAAGUCAAUCGACAUAAUUAUUCCCAGGCAUAUGAGAUAUGAUAUGAUUUGAUCUAGCAACAAUAUUCCUCAAAACAAGGAAGAAUUUUGUCAGUAACUCAUGUUUCUCUCGCACUCAAGAUAAUAAAAGCAAGAUAUGAAAUUUACACUUUAAGAACAUAACGAGGAUUUGAUUAUAUCACUAGAAGCCUCUUGUUAACACCAUCACUUGAUACAAGAAAUGAUCAGCCAUUAUUUUCACUUCAGUGAACAUUAAUACUUCACAGUGCAUAAUUAACAGAUUCAAACAGAUAUUGAUAGAAUAACCAAAACAACAACAGAGGAAAACUAAAGUCAUACAGAGAUCAUCAAGAUAUAACUCUUUGUAAACCUUUAAGAGUAUGUGAAAGCCAAGUUUUAUCCCAGUUUUUAAAAACUAAUUGUACAUAUGGGGAUAUGAGAAAGGGACUGACAUAAUUACAAUUUUAUUUGUAUGAAAUGCAACUUGAAACUUAAAGCUUUUUGUCAAAGUUUCUAAGAUGUACCUCUAUACCAUCUAUCUUGCACAAAAAUCUUUUGCCGUGCCAGAUCUUCAUUCGUGGGCAACCUUUCUUCUGAAAUUUGUCCCAAGCAAUGUCUGCUGUUUGCCCAGAACACAAGUGUCCAUCAGCAGAAGUAAUCUGAAAAAAAUGGUAAUGCAUCUUUUUAGAUUUGCAUGAAACUAAUCAGCAUUAGUUGGAUAGCCACAGGGUCUGGGUACAAACCACAAACAAAGGCCCUUUAUGACCUUCCUGAAUUUCCAUCUUAUAAGUGCCCCCAUUAUAAGCUCGGCGAGCUUGAUAUCCCACUGGAUAAGGAUAGCGAUCUUUACCCUAAAAAAGUAUAAAUUGUGUCAACUGAAAGCAUGAAAAAAUAAGAUGCAGGCACACAGAAUUUGCAACAGCCAACGACCAGCCAGGGAAGUCUAUGUUUGUUGAUUUAAUUAGCUAUUCUUGUUCACAGGAAACAUUCAGCUGUAAUCAAAAUUAAUUCUGCAGCCAUCAUCAAUUUAGCUGUUGUUUUACAUGGGAAAUUCAAUUUUGGCAUGGGACCCUUUGUAGGUACAUCUCUUUUUUUUUUUUUUUUUUUUUUGGAGUUGUGAAACUGGACAUUAAGUAUUUGAUUUUUCAUGUCGGAUGGGUUACUUCUCUCUCUUAUUUACACAUUUACUCUAUUUCUGGUUUCCACCUUGCAACAAGACUACACCAGUUACUACAGCAGCAGAAUAGCCCACAGUAUCUACCUUUUCUGGCAUGUUUCACUUCUAAGGUCACAAUACUCACUGCUUAGUCAUUGCAAACCGCACGUAUUUUCCUGGCCUUUGUCACCAGAAUCAGAUUGACCUAUUAAAAUUUGCCUUUCAAACCCUAACCUUUUUGCAGUCAGAAUAUUCCAGCAACUAGAUUCCUCAUAUCUGAUCCUCCUUCCUUCUGCCCUUGCAUCUCACCCGCAUCAGAUCACAUUUAAAGAACAAACUCUAAACCCUAGACACUAACCCAUCAAAGCAGCAAAAAUAGAUAGAUUGUUCUCAGUUGUUACCAAUUAAUUUGACAGAUGAACAAGACAAUAAUUAAAGAAAGAAGUUACAAUAAUGAAACCUUGUCAAUGUUAAGUGAAUGAAUGACUAUAAUCAAAAGUCUCUUACACAUAAAAGAUCAUUCCAAACAACUAAAUCCUAACCCAAAUUGUUCCUAUGAUCAGUUGAAAAUCAAACAAAACUUGUAGAAAUGCAGCAAUUACCGACCGAUUAGGCAAAAUAUAGUACUAUUGUCCUGGAAAGACUCUCCAAUCAUUUUACGUCCUCUGUUUGACCAAUCUAGAUCAGGUUUCAACUGCCCAACUACAAAAUUUUCGUGAAACGUAUUAUUAAGUCUCCUCCUCUUCUUCCUAUUUGCCUGGUUUCUAUUGCACCUAGCAUGAAAAGGUUACUUGAUUUGCUCAUCUAAAUUGGCCCAAUUUUUUACCAAAUAACAAUUUGUGUCAAAAUUCAUAUCCAAUCAGCAUUGCUCACACUUUUAGAUGCACUAAUUUCCUAUCCUCUUUGUUCAUUCAAUUUCACCGCAAAAUCUGCGUCUCCUUGGCAAAAUUCAAAUAGUUCGGAAUUGCAAAUUAAAAAAAAUCAGAUCCAAAAAUAUGAGGAGGAGAAUAUCAAACCAAGUGUAGAAGUUCAUAAAUAAUGAAAGAUAUUUGAGGAUUGACGAAAGGGGAAAACAAACCCUAGAGGAGCUCCAAUACUUCUUGUCCCAGGGUCCACUGUAUAGAGAUCCAACAGAAAUUAUUUCAAGGCCGUCUGGCUUCUCUUCUUCUUUUUCUUCUUCUUCUUCUUUAGGUUUCGCCAUUGGAAGAAAAUUGAAGCCCUGGAUUUUCAAUGAACGGUGAUUGUUAAUAUCCGUAGCAGAAACAAAGAACGAGAGACAGACGGAGGGAGGACUUUAAAUGGCGGGAAUGAGCACUGAAAGUCUCAAAUUCCCUCCACGGUUGAAUAAAUGAUAUUUGAAACUAUUACGAGUAAAAUUUUUAUGCUAAUUUUCAAAAAAAAAAAAAUACAGAAAUAGGAUUUUUUUUUUUUUUUUUCCUUAAGAUAAACAAAUUUGCUUAGUAAGUUCAAUUUCUGACAUUAUAAAUAAUAUAAAUAUAUUAAUUUUUCAAUUUUAAAUUUAAUACAAUAUGUCAAUGACAUGUAUCUUACCAUCAUUAGUUAAUAAUGAAAGAUUUAUUUAUUUUGAAAAGCAUGUAUAAUUAUGUUAAUUAUAAUAAAAAUUAAUAGUAAUAGAAGCAGAAAUUGAGGCAAUUAUUUAAAAAAUCUAAUAAUUCCAGUUACCCUUAGAACCCAUUUUAGCAAGUCAAUAUAUAUAAGCCAGGUUGUACAAAUAUGGACACAAUGCAAACACGAAUGUGGACAUGAAAUAUGGUAAUUUUUAAAAUAGUAGAAUACCGAUACGUUUAGAAUGUAUUAUAUUAAAUAAGUAUAAUUUAUUAAUAAUUUAAAUAAUUAAAUAAUUAUUUCCAAUAAAUAAUAAAAAAUACUACUUAAAUCUUAUUUCGAAAUAAUUAAUUAAAUUUAUAGAUUAAUAUCAUUAUUGAAGAUCAUAUCAUCUCAUUUAGAGAUAAAAUUGAAAAUUUCAAGAAUCAAACAUUUUUAGAAGAUAUUAAAUUAAUCUCUACGAUAUUUGAUAUUUAUUUUGUUUAAUACAAUAUUGUCGACUAUUUUUUUUUAUAUAUAUAUAAAAGCUUUGUGAAUUUCUAUUUUUAAAUUAUGAAUUAAUUCAUAAAUUUGAUAAUAAUAGAUACAUAAUAAAUUACAAAAUGUAUAUUAUAAGAUAGAGUUUGUCUAUUUUUUAUUUUUUUUAAUUUUAUAUUUGAAGUAUUAAUAAUUACAAAUGUAUAUUUAAGAUAACAAUUUUAAAAUUUUUAUUAAGGAAUUUAUCUAAAAUUUUAAUAAAAUUUUAAAAUAUAUCUGUAAAAUUCUACAAAAUGUCUUAGAUAUGUCUUUAAAGUUUUCUCAAACUAACAAAAUAAAAUAAAUAAUAUAAAAUAUCUUUUAAAGGAGUAUCCAAAUAGUGUCGGCAUCCAACAUAAAAUCUCCACAGAGUAUACAAGACUUAUACUCAAGAAACCAAUGAUGAAUUUCUACCUCCGAAUCUUGAGAGAGGAAUCGUUUAAUAUUCCAAAUCAAAGAGUCAAAUUUCAGAUUAAAAAAAAUAAAAAUGGAAGUUGCCAUCUCACAAUCUCUUAUCAGGUAUUAUUUUGACCACGAGUUAAAAGUUUAAAGUCAAGUAAAUUUCAAAAACUAUUAUUCUAAGCACAACGUUAAAAAUUAAAAGUUUUAAUCGAUUAUAAAUAUUUAUUUUAGAGUUAAUUAUACUUGUGAUUUCUGAAUAUUUUAUUUUUUUAUUUAAUGUUUUAAGAGAAAAAUUUUAUAAUUGAAUGUCUAUACUAUAAAAAAAUUGCAAUCAAGUAUAUUUACCAAAUUAUUUUUUGAAACAAAUAAAAUAAACUAUUUUACUUAAUAAAUGAUAUCAAACAUAAACAUCUAUUAUAUAUAUUUCUCUUUUUUAUUUUUCUUUAUUUUUUUAUUGGAUUAUAUCUCCUUUCUAAAAAACCCUAAAAAAUUUCUUCUACUUUUAUUUCAUUUUUAAAUAUAUAAAAGAACAUAGAAUAAUUAAAAAAAGAAAUAUCAUAGUAUAAAAAUAAAUUAAAAUAAUCGGACAAAAUAGUUUAUUUUGAUUUUUCAGUGAGAAAUUCUAAUUAAGUGUACUUAAUUAUACGAAAUUAGUUUGUUAGACAACAAUUAUUUUUUCAAUUCAGACUAAAAUAUAAAAAUUAAAAAAUCCAAUCACUGCAAUUCUACAAAAUAUAAUUAACCCUUUAUUUUUACUAUUAUAUAUAUAUAUACGGUAUGUAAAAUAUAUUUAUAAUAUGUUGUUGCUUAUAUAUAUUAUUUUGUCUACUUGGGCAAUGAAGGUUCAUCCUCGCAUCGCAGCCAUUCCAGCCCUUUUAGUCCCAUGAAGGCCUCUCAAGCCCAUUUCUACCGAUUCUCCGAAUUUUAGCACAAGUAAAAUUACUUAUUUUAGCAGCUAUUAAUUAUUUUAAUAUGGUUUACCUGUUAGUUAUUUUAGUAACUUUUUAUUUAAUUUUUAUAAAAUAUUAUUUUAACUUUUAAAAGCGAGUUCAGACAAUAUAUCACCGAACAUUACAAAAAAUAAAAACUCUAAAAAUUAUUUUAAAAGUUAUUAUCAAACACAAUUUUAUUCUUUUUAUUAUUAUUUUUGGCAUGAAUCCACACAAAAAUAAAUAAUUGCAACCUAAUGGUAAAAUUAAUACAAUAAAUUAAAUGCCUAACCUAACUUUACCUAUCAAAAACGCUUCAAACAAUGGAGAAACAUAACAAACAAAAAGCCAAAAUAUGUAUUUGUAAGCGUGGUUGCACUUCAUACAGCAUUUAGCAUUUUAAUUUUAAUUUAAUCAAAAUAUUAUUUUUAUUAUUUCAUAUUUAUAGUAUUCAAGAACGUAGUGUUUAUACUAAUAUUUAGAAUUUGAGAGAGUUGAUUAUGAAAUGUUACUCUCUUUAGUGUUUGAUAAAAUAUAAUUAAAAUAGCUGAUAGCUAACAAUUAUUAAAAUAACUAAUUUUGUGAAACAAGUCAAUGAUUAUAGUAUUAUUGAAUAAUAGUAUUAUCAAGGUACAGUCGGACUCUAAUAUUUAGAGAAUUAAAGAAAAUUUUUAAAAGUUAAGAGGCUAAAUAAAAAAUAUUUUAUAAAGUAAUCCUCCAUUUCUUCGAGUUGAAAGUUACUUAAAGAGAGAAAAACUAUCUUAAAAACAAAAUUAUGCUAGGAAUUAGGUAAAUAAGCACCCAAUUAAGAUUAUGAAACACCAGCAAAGGUUUGUUGAAGAAAAGCAAACAAAUGAAAACAGUUUUGAGAUAAAAGAAAUGAAAAAAGAAAAGAAAUGAAAAGGGGGAGAGAGAGAUAUCAAUAUCAUAAAGAUGGAGAUGUCUAAUCAGAAUUUCCAAAAGGGCUAAGAAAGAGGGUGAAGAUAGAUCCAAUGAUUGUGUUCAAAUCCGUUAAUGAACAGAACUUUCCUUAAAGCAAAUGCAUUUAUAUGUAUUCAUAAGAAUCUCAUGGCAUCCAACACAUGUCCUAUAUAUCCACAAAAAAUUUUUUUUUAAAAUAUUUAAUAAAAACAAAUUAAAUUUUAAUUUUUAAAGCAAUAAUUAAAGAAACUAUAUACAUCGGACUAAGAAAAGACCUUGAGGGUAAUAGUGACCUAGGGAAAGUCGAUUUAUACAAGCACAGAAAGUUGUGAAUACCAAGUGCUAAUGUAGCUUUGUUUCUAUAUUUGGUAACUGAGGAAUAGUCCCAUCACAAUAACACACAAAACCCAUCUUCUUCUUCUCCUUCUUCUGCUUCUUCUUCUUCCUUCUUCCUUCUUCCUUCUUCUUCUUCUUCUUCUUCUUCUUCUAAGUUCAUUUACUAGAGCUAUAUAGGUAGCUAAGUAUGUGACAGUGACUUGUGCUUAUAGCUUAUGUCUCUUUCAUUUUACCUUCUUUAGCAUUGCACCCACAAAAGACGGAAUGCAUGGACAGGUUGCCCUCUCUUCACUAUCUUUUCAUUCAUUCAACUUCACUUUGGCCCACUUUAACCUUUCUUUCAACUAUCAACUAUCUUUUCACUUCGACCCUAAUUUUUCUUCUUUUCAUAUUUCUGUCAAUAAUGCCAUCCUCAAAUUGCUAGAGAUUAGCUUAGCUUAAGCAGAAAGUGGGUAUACUUCUUAUCAGGAGGUUUAAUUUUUAGUAUCAUAUUAGGUAUAUCUUAAUUCCUUUUUUUUUUUUUUAGAGAUGUUUGACUUUAAUCAUAUUUAUUAAAGAAAUAAAUUUAAUUCGAUAAAUUUGAUAGUAUAAAAUAAAUUCACGGUCUUGUUUGUUCUAUUUAGGUUUGUCGUUGCAAUUAGAAUUGAGCACUCAGUCGUAAUAAGUAAUCGUUCAUAACUUUAGAAAUAAUAUAUAAUUAAGAAAUUGCAACAAAUCUAAUAAUCAUAUAUGCAAGUGGUUUGUUGCAAAAUGUCCAGUCAUCUAAUUAUACAUGUGAACUUUCACUAGAAAAAUUCAGCUCAUUAUCACUGGAUUCAUUAGGGAAUAAUUUUGGAAUUGAGACUCCUUGCAGUAUGUUAUGAAAAUGUCCAAAUUAUAGUUUUUGAGUCAAAUAAUUUUAGCUUCUUCAGUGUAGAAUGUUACAAAUCAUAUGAAUUCCUGUUUGGUCAAUAUGAUCUUAAAUUAGUAAGAAACUAACAAGACUAAAUGUGAUUAGCAAUCAUAUUAAUUUUUUUUAAUUAUAAAAUAAAGUUAGAUUUAAAUCGUAAAUUAAAUUUUCUAAUUUUUUAUAAUAAUAAAAAAAAAUACUCAGACUAUUAAAUUGUUAAUAGAAGCAGCAUAUCACGAGAAUUAGUUUGGUAGGUGUAAGUGAGUACUGUAUUUAAGCAUCCGUACAAACCGCAUGCAAAUUCAGCUCUGCAAAUAUACUUUCCUCUCUGCUUCUAAUACUACUCCCAUUAUUCAACCCACUAGCUAUACCUUUUCUUCUUAUCAAAACAACACAAACCCUAAACACACAUUUCUCUUCUUACCUCUCUCUCUCCUUCUACUUCUUCUUUCUUCUUUCUUCUUUCUUCUUUCUUCUUUCUUCUUUCUUCUUGUUUGAGAAAGAAUGAACCUAGAAGAAAAGGUGACAAUGGACUUGGUUCCACCAUCUGAGCAUCUCUGCUAUGUCCGCUGCAACUUCUGCAACACGGUUCUUGCGGUAAUUUUACAUAUUUAAUUUUAACACUCAAUCUGUCUCUCCCUCUCUCUCUCUCUCUCUCUUCAAUCUUCAUGAUUUUGUUUCCCAUACAGAAACCAAAAACUUAUCUAUUACUCCUUAUAUAUCUUCUCAUGUAUCUCUAUCAUAUAUCAUAAACUUUAGUUUCAUGCUAUAUAUUAUUUAUAGUAACCCUACAAAUAUGGGUCUAUAUACAAUAUCUAAUUUUGUUUUCUACUUAACCCUACAUAUAAUUCUCAGACAUACCUAGAUUUAUACUCUAUGAUCUUUAAAAUUAAGGGGAAAAACAAAGAAAAUGGUAAUUUCUUUUGCAAGUUUAUGUAAUUGAAAAUGGGGUUUGUAUUUUUUGUUUCUUACUUUAUUUUUUUGUUAAUUUCUGGCUCAUAUGCUUUGAAAUUAUCUUGUUUGAGUGUUUUUUCUAACCUAAUUUGGGUUAUAAUUUGAAUACUCCAAGAACUUAAUGACAAAAAAAUAAUAACAUUAGUAUCGGUAAUUCUAUAGGGUUGGGAUAAUAUUAUUCUAUGCAACAAACCAAAAGAUUAUACUAUAUUUUUGUUAUUUUCUCAUUUUUUUACUUAAUAUUGGGUAAUAAAUUAAAUGUUUAUAGGUUGGGAUUCCAUGCAAGAGAUUGCUAGAUACAGUGACAGUGAAAUGCGGUCACUGCAGUAACCUAUCCUUUCUCAGCACCAGACCUCCACUACAAGGUCAAUGCCUUGAUCACCCAUUGACCCUUCAGGUAUUUAUUUUUAUAUCAACUGUUCACUUUUUUUUUUUUUCUUUUGAAGUUUCCUUCUUGUUCUUGGAUGAUCAAGUAGUUAAUUAAUGUGUAAUUGCUAUGUUAUAAACCGAAACAAAUUCAAAUAUAAUCAGAAUUAUUCAUAAUAUAUAAUCUUAAUUAACUUAUUUUAAUGUGAAAAAAAAUUAGAACUUCGGGACUUAUGAUAGGUGCUUAUAUAUGUAUGUACCAAGAAGAAGCAGGGUUUUUUCAGUGAUCUUAGAAAGGGACAAUCUUCUUCCUCAUCAUCAUCAACAUCAAGUGAACCCUUGUCACCCAAAGCACCCUUUGUAGUGAAACGUAAGAACCCUAAUAACAAAAUUUGCUAUUUCUAUAAUUAAAUUGAAUUAUGAACUAAUCCAAAUUAAUUAAUUAUUUUUUCUUGCAGCACCUGAGAAGAAACAUAGACUUCCAUCUGCUUAUAAUCGGUUUAUGAAGUAAGAAGAGAAUAUCAUUAUAAUAAAUAAAUUUUCUUUAUUGAUCCUGUUUUUAUUUACUUGUAAAUAUCAUGUCAGCUAGAAGUAUUUUAAUUUCUUUCUAUAUCUAAUCUUAUUUGCUGGUGUUAGGGAGGAGAUACAGCGUAUCAAAGCUGCAAAUCCUGAGAUACCACAUCGAGAAGCCUUUAGCACAGCAGCCAAAAAUGUAAUUACCAAAAAAAUUUAUAUAUAAAUCAUAAUUAAUGUUGUUUAUAUAUUUUUAAAAAUUUUGUUUAACCUAGUCUUGAUUUUUGGUGCAGUGGGCAAGGUACAUUCCGAACUCUGCGGGUGGAUCAGUUUCUGGAAGCAAUAACAAUGUUAGAAAAAAAAAAACUCUAUCAUUCUCUUCUUUGAUUAAUUAAUUUCUUUACAUAAAUGUAAAUGCGGAAUUUUAAUUAGGGUUUUUACAUUUUGCAGGAUUAAAGAAGUGAAAGAAGAAAAAACCUAGAGAAGUUUAGACACUAGAAGAGCAAAGCAAAAACCUAGGACUUUGGAUUAAGCUUCUAUGUGUCAAAUGAAGUUUAUUGUGUUGAUGGUAUUUCUUUUAAAUCUAGAUUGAACUUAAUUAAUUAUAUAUAUUAAAGUUUGCAUGAGGAUUUGAACUUAGCUAUAGCUAGCUAGGUUAAAUAAUUGUAUUAAUCAUUAAUUAAGCAUAUACAUUUGGAUGGUUGAUUUCCCUAAGCUACUACUUUUACUAAAUCAAUGCUUUGGUUUUCAAUUUAACAUUUCUACAGAAUUCAUAGAUAAAUGGUAAUCACCAACAAUUAUUCUCCCCAUAUUCAAAUAUGCUAAUGGGUCGGGUAUGGAACGGGUUUUUUUUUUUUUUUUUAAUAUCCAUAUCCUAUCAGCCAAGAAAAAUUACUACUGCCUAUAUUAUUAAUAUUGGUUGAGAAGAGUAUUUAUAUAAAAAUAAAUAAAUAAUAAAGAGUUAAGUCAGGUUGGUAUAUACCCGUAUCUAAUUAGAUGAGCUAGAUAGCUUUUUUUCUUUUUAUAAUAUUUUUAUUGUAUAUAAAUAUAAUUAAUAAAUAAAAAGAAAAUAACUUAUAAGACUAAAAGGAAUAUAUAAACAAAUGGUUUCAUAAAUUUAAUUCCGUUCACAAUUAUAACUUUCAUAUUUAUUUAUUUGAGAUCGUCUAUUGGAUUAAAAAAAAAAAAAAAGAAAAAGAUUUUCUUUUAUAAAUUUUUAUUCUAUUCUAAGUGAUUAGAUUCAAGCUUUUAAUAUUUUUAAUAGAGAUUUCAAACUUUCACAUGUCAUCUUGAAGACAGUGAGAGAGUACGAGAGAGAUUUCUAUUUCUAUUUUUUAUUUAUUUAUAAAAUGCGGUAUUGAAUUGUUUUACAUGAGAGAAGAGUGUUUUAUAGGAACUAAAAUCCUAAUCCUUCAAUGAAAAAUAAAAAAUCCGGCAAAUUUUAAUGAAUGGUCCAGCGCAAAGUCUGGUAAUUGUCUUUUUCUUCGGUUUAUAUAAAAACAAAAAUAAUAAUGAUUUUUGUUAAUAUCAAAAAGCAAUAUUUUUAUGGGAAAAACUUACUUAAAUCGGAUCUAUACAUUUGAAAUAAGAGCAUUUUGACUAUACAUUUAGUAAAAAAAGAAUAAAGUCGGAACAUUAUCCUUAGUUUCAUUUAUUCGGCUAUAAUUAGGGUCAUGAACCUGAUCUAGAUAAAUAAUUUCCUAUUUUUAUUAUCAAUCAAAUGUGUCUGGUUGAUCUUCUCAGUAGUGUGAGAGAUAAAAAAUUUCGAAUUCAAGUCAUUUCCACCGUAGUUUUCUACCAUGUUUUGUAGCGUAUUAUAUUAUUUCAAUCUAUCGGACAUCCCAAUAAAUAAUAUUUUUAUUAAGACACUGUCGUCCUCUUUCAUUUCGCUUCAUCAUUGUUCCGGACAUUCUUUAUUGCAAUUGAUUGGCAAAAGAAGCCAUGAUGAACCCUAACAACUUUUGCUUUUUCAAAUUGUUUGAUGGCCUUAUGAGCAAAGGCAAGUUGAGGAUAUAAUUUCAGGAGAACAAACUUGUACAUUCAAUGAGGCUGUGGGGACAGAACUUUCCUUUUGGGUGAGGACGACGCUACUCAAAAUAACAAUAUGUUUCCAUUGAAAUUUUAGAGGCAGUGGAGUAACUGUAGAGAAUUGCCUAAUUGCCCCAAUUGUACAUCCACGUUGCUUUGAGUUAAAGAAUUUGACAAAGCUAGUUUAUUUAGUUCUUCGGUUUUCUACUAGUCACCUCCUAAAAAUACUUCUUCCUUCCAUCAAAACCGAAUCGACCCAAGUCGCACCCCAUCUGAAUCUCCUCUCCGCAAUCGAAACCACCUACAAUUAGCUUCGUUGAUAGUGAGAACUGAGCUGCUUCGUUUAGGGUUUUGCAGCUAAUAGAGGGAGUAUGUAAUUAUAUUUUGAACACAGAUCGUAAUUAGCGUAUUUAACUAAAAUCGUAGGUCUAAAUAAUUAAUUUACUCUCACUGAAGAUGAACUCAAAUCAUAAAACAUACUAAAAGUCCGGUGGACGAUUUUUGCAAGAUUAAAAGUUUAAUUAGCCUGAAUAAUAUUAAAUUUCACAAAAAAAGAAAGAUAAUCUAUUCUUUAAGAAUUUUGAUUCGAGAUCACUCCUUUUGCAUUAGUGAAAAAACUAACCAGAUCACACUCGAUCAAAGUUAUUUUCUAUGCAAAUUUUAUUAUUUUAUUUCCCAUAAUCUCUUAAUCACUGCUGAACCAGAAUUCCUCUAAGAACUAACUAAUUAAUAAAUUAUAUUUAUGUACGAAUUGCCAUUAUGCGUCAUGAGUGAUAUCAUAGUAUUAUAACAUGCGUCAUCACUGACAUCAAAGUAUCACACAUCUUAGACUAUAACAUCAUAAAUAAGGUGGGCAUAAAAGUGGACAUGCACAUGUACUUAUAACCAUUUUAUAAGCCUUUAAACAUAUAAUUACUCGCACUAAACAUAUGUUUUUACAUAAUUAAGGUAUUAAUGUUACUUUAAGUCAAGUUGCAUUCUUAAAAAAACACAAUACCCAUUUAUGUUGCCUUUUACAACUCACUCUCCACACACCACUGACAAGAAUUAAAAAUAAAAAUAAAUAAAUAAAAAGACUUUGACUUUUUUUUUAUCAGUGAAUCAAGUGGUUUCUACACUUUUAAGCGUCAAAUGGAAAGAUAAUUAGGGCUGUAAUUAUACUAUAUAUAGAAAUAUUCUCUUUUAAACAAUUUGUUCUUUCUUGGGUCUAAGCUCCCAAGUUUUUGGGAUAAUCUUAAUCUAUACAAUAUGGUUACCUGUAAAGAACUGCAAAGAAAGGCUAAAUAUUCCAUUCAACAACAUUAAGGAAUCAGAAUGUUGAAAGCUCAUAAUUUAAUUAGCUCUUCUAAAUAAAAUAUUAAGAACCAUAAAAAGAAAUUUAUAAAAAUAAAAAAAGAUUACUGCAUAUUUUUCAUUUUGCCUCUUUUCUUUGUCCCUUCAAAAUUUGCCCCUUCACAAAGUGAUGCAACCCAGAAUCUGCUUUGGAUAAAUAAAAAGUGAAGGAUAUUUGAUGAAAUGCCAAGUUGUAUUGACUGAGGAACUGAAUCCUUGAUUUAGAACCAGCAUAAAAUUUACAAGGCCGGCCAAAAUAGAGUAAUCUAGAGCAAGAAAGAGUAUUAAACUUACAUGAUCUAGAGUAAUUAAACCAUAUUAAUAAAUUUCUGUUAUAUACUUAUCAGUAACGGAAUGUAUUGCAUGUUGUAUCUUAAGUUUCCACUGAGCUCAAGUCUACCAGCCUUUGUCCACUGCACCAUUGAAGUUAGUACUACACAUUUGAUGCACCAUUGAAGUCAGUUCUACACAUUUGAUGCAGCUUACGUUCAAAAUAGUCAUUUAACCCUGCAUCGACGAUGCAUUUUACCGUUACUCCAUAAGAAAGAUUUGGCUAGAUUUAUAAAUAAAAAUUGACCGAGAUCUCCUAUCUUUAGAUGGAAAUCCAAAGAACGAGCAUUGGAUAAACAGAACUUUACCAAGAUUUUUGAUAAGUUUUUGAAAGAAUCCAAAUUCAGUCGAUCCAACAAAACUGAACAAUUUCCAAAAUUAGCAUUAAAAAAAAAAAAAAGGCAAAAGAUUUCAAGCUGUUAGUUUACAUACCUUGCUCCUUUUAUGCCCCAUAUGUGGUAAGAAAACUGGAAAAAUCCUCAACUUCAUGCUUCACUUGUGCAGAAUUCCUCUGUUGCUCGACCCUAUGAAGAUGUGAUGAAAGUUGAAGCAAAUCUACAGUAGAUCCAUUUUCAUCAGAAGCACAGUAUUUCGCGUUCAAAAGAUCUGAUUCUUGAAGAAAGCCGUCUGGUUCAACUUGAAGUUCACCAGCAUAAGAGACUGUGAACGAUCCCAUAUGGUUAGAUUUAAAGGGAUUCAAUCCAGAUGAAUGAAAUCCAUUCGGCAAAUACUUUUCCAAAGACUCUACCCCAAAUGGUUUGUCAGAAAUGCCAACACUGUGAUGGGAACGAUUAGCUUGACUGAUCGAGGGCCUUGCCAUUAUAAUUCCUGCUGAAUGACUUAAGUCCUGUGAUUCAGCUGACAGAAGAGAGAGAGCACAACUGGAAUGUGACACCCCGGCUAACUCAUGAACAGUUGAUGCAGUAUUAAGACGAGUGAACUCAUCAGUUGCUGAAGGACAAAUUCCAGAAGUGUUUUGGAUCCCAUUGCCAUGUAGACGGAGAAAGGAUUUUGAAACAAACUGCCCAUUUGAGUUGUAUACUGAUUUCUCUUCCAAUUUAACUGGCCUAUAGCAGUUAGAUGCUUCAUGUCUAUCUGGAGAAAGAAUACCACCAGCAAGCAUGUUGGGAAACAGAAGAGACGCUCUGUUCGGCAAGCAGGUCCCCAAAAAUUUUGUCUCUGCAAAAUCAUAUGCAUCAGAAAUAUAGAAAUAUACAUUUAGCAAAUAAAAUUUCCAAUUUUGUGAUCAUAAUAAAUCAUUGUUUUUUAGGGACCACUAUAACUCCAUAACCACGUACAGUAAGUCCCAUCAAUGCAUAAUCAUGAUUUCAUUAGCAGUGCAUACAUUUAUAUUAGGGAGUUUAUGACCUUAAAAACAAAUGCUUAAAUCAAAACAAUUAAGUAAAAACAUAAAUAAAACUAAAUAAAGAUUAAUUAAAAUAAAUAAAAAUACUAAAAAUCCUAAUAAACACUAUAUUAAAAAUACUAUAAAAAAUUAGCCUAUCAGAGCAACUUAAAGAGUGAAUAAAUUCCAAUUCCCAGAAGAGCAGUUAUAUCAGACUAUAGAACAUUCAGAAGAAAGGAAAAUAUUGGCUUCAGUCUCACUAAAUCUAUUGAAAUUUCAAGUUAAGAUAAAUAUAGCUCCACCUCUAUUUCUCUUUCAAAUUUCAAACAAUCUCAUACUGAAUUUCGUAAUUUGUUAAACUAAUUAAUCAAAAACUGAAAAUAAUUUUAGGAAAGAUUUGCACCAAAUAACAGAAUGUCUUGCAGGUUUACAAAUUCCCACAUCAAAAAGAAAAGAAAAGAAAAAAAAAGAUUGAACAUAUCAAGUUACCAUCCGGGUCUAUCAAUCACAGUGCAAGCCUGAGCCUAAGAGCAAUAUAGAAUUGAGUAAAACAGAAAGCAAGCUCUUGAAACAUGCACUAAAACUAAAAGAUGCAACAAAAUAUUAACUCUUACAAUUUCUUUGCCGGAACAUAUGACUGUAAGAAUUGCAUGCAUCAGAUUAGAUCAUUUAUGAACAAUUGAAUAAGAAAAAGAAAUAAGUCAUCGAUAAAGUAGAAGUACUGUCUACAUAAAAACAGUAAGGCCAAAUGUAAAUAAAAAAUUUGAACGUUACAUAUUUAAAAUUUAUAUACAAAUCAAGUUCAGAUCCCAUCAAGGGGCAAAGUUUAAUAAAACCUUAAAAAUGGAAAGUCUAUACGACAUCAAUGAGCUUUUUCUAUUAUUGCCCUGUUCAUUCGACUUUUAUAUUAAACUGAGUUGCAUUUUCUGCGCAGAAUAAGAGUACAAACAGUUCAUACCUUGAUAUGACUGCAGUAACUUAUGUCUACCAGAGAGAGCACCAAACUGAGGCUUCCUUCGCCGUUCAUUGUGCCCAGCUAGGCGUUUACGACAACUGCGCUUACCAUCGUCGAAUUCAACAAGCAAAUGAAACCUGAUUAAUCAAGUCAGAAGAGAACAAACUUACUAAAACAAUAGAAGGAAAAGACACUAGAGAAUGCUAAUUAUAUACGCGAUUCAUGCGGUGAAAUUACAUUACAAAAUCAAUUAGACUAGUUAUAUAAUUUACACAAUCACCUGAAAAAAAGAAUAUUAUUUACCUAAAUGCACUGAAAAUCUAGAUGCACUCUAACCAUAAUUUUCAUCUUACCUUUACUUUUACGCUAUUAUGCUUCCUCACCCUUUUUUCCUAAAUAAAGAAAACCAAGCGACUUGCGCGUACAUAAUCUUUAUAGUAAGUUUACCGUCAUCAUUAAAAGCCAUAAAAAAAUGCAUUGAAUAUGGCCCACAAAAAGUAAGCACGCCAAAGUAACUAAGCAUCAUAAUUAAAACAAAGAAUGAAGAAAAAGGAGGAAAAAAAGAAGCCAACCUGCUACACUGCUGGCAAAACCUUUGCUCAACACCAUUAACAAUAACUUUGGGAGUCUUUGAGUGGAUCUCACAAACUUUAUGCCUCUUGUGGUAAUCCUUUAAGGAGCUGAGGUCUUUGUUACAACCAUAGACCUGGCAAAGAGGAGUCUGUAAUCGCGAACUCAUUGUUCGAGCUCGCUUUGGCUGAGAAGUUGGACUUACUGAAGAUACCACUGAUCUUUCUUUCAAAAACUUACUAUUUUGUGCAUCUUUGCCAUCAAUCAAUCUACCUAGCUUUAAAUCAAUUAGUGACGAAUCCUGACUGUUAGAUUCCAUGAGAGAAUUAGAAUGGUUUGACCCAGAUUCCAGUGAUGAAUUUGAAGCAAUCAUAUAACUAGGAGAAGUUAGUUCUAUUUUACAAGAAUCAAUACCAGCUUCAUCACUACCAAGCAUCCCCGCACCUGUAUUACUACUAGCAUGAAAUGGCUUUUUCGGAAUUUCGCUGAAACUCAAAUCUAUAAACUCAGUACUCUCGACAGAUUCCCCAUCCCAUCCUGUGAAUACUCUUCUAUUUCUCCCAUACGAAUCAAUAGAUGAAUCUAUUUCAUCUGAGAACAGAAGGCCUUUACCUUCCGCAGCAAAGCGCCAACACUCCAUCAACAAAAAAGAAAAGCAAUUGCAGAAAGUAGGCAGAGUCUUUAGUGCCCCUAACAAAAAUCACAAAGAGAAUGCUAAUCACCAUAUAGCAAUAAUUCAUUAAAGUCAAAGAAAUUGCAAUAGCACAAACAUCAUGUAAACGGCAACAUCAAUUAUUUCAAGAUAUGAAAUUGACCAUAACAAAUAGUGGAUAUAAAUCAAAUUCAAUACCCACGACUCUGCCACUUGAUAGACCAAAUUUAGAGAGACCCAAUUGGUUUCAACAUUCCUCAUAAGCACAUCACAGCAAUGAUGACACUAACGACAAACGACGACAAAAAAAUUUCUAAAUUGCAAAUAAACUAAACUGCACUGCCUAUUUCUUGGCUGAGAAAUUUAAAGGACAAAAGAACAUAACUUUUUUUUUUUUUUAUUUAAUCUCAAUCGACUCUGUAUAUUUUCUUUUUAUUGUACAACAAUAACUGAGGUCUAGAAAAUAUGGAACUUCAAAUUUCUACCCACAUCACUUUCCUCCAGUUUUCUCAGCAGCCAAAUAGAGAAAACAGAAUACGGAGCAGAGUAAAAACCCACAACCACAAGACCCUUAAUAAUAUCUUUAAAUGUUCAGUCUAAAACCAACAUAGGUAAAAGGAACACAAAUCUCAAAUCCCAAAAAAAAAAAAAAAAAAAAAAUGAGAGAGAGAGAAAAUAUAAAAACAAAGAACCAGACACAAAAAUCCGCCCAUUUGAAAAGCUUAACAAAUAAACUAGUAAGCUUGAUUACUGAGAACUUGCAAGACAAAAAAUGGGUUCGUUGCAGGAUUCCAAAUUUUCUCGUCUUCUUACAAUUUCCACAAAAAAAAAGCACAUACACCAAAAAAAAGGGAAAAAAAAAAAAGAAAGAAAAACAACCCAGAAAACAUGAAAAACAGAGCCAACACAGUAACAUUUUCUUUUGUUUGGCUUACCAGAGAAGAUAAUAGCGACAGAUAGCGAGAAAGAUGGAGAGAAGGGCGAGAAAGAUGGAGAGAAGGGUAUUAUUUUUCCUUUCAGAUAAGUGGAGAAGAAGUCGAAGCAGAUAUACAUGCGCUGUGAGUCAACAUGAUUUCCACUACUCAUACAUUGAUAAUACAUACACACUCUCUGGUUUCAAAAGCAUGUCCAGGUCUUUUGUAGCUUUUGAGAGUUGACUGUAUUUCCUAUUUUGUCCAUACCCUUUCUAUUUUAUUCCCAUCGCGAGAAAAGCAUUCAAAAGCAUUAUUGUUUUUAAAUUUUUAUCUUAAUUAAUUAUUUGCAAAAUGUUCUUUUUUAUCGUUCUAUCCUUUUGAUUUUCAUGUCUCUCGCCUGAUAUGAUCUUGAUCUGAUCUGCCUCAUGUGAUCUUGUUUUGCUCUAAUUCUUACUUUUCAUGUCCCUUCAAAGAUAGGACAUUUAUAAUUUUUACAUGAAUAUCAUUAUCGAAUUUACUAAAUAUGUAGAUAAUAUUUUUUUCGAUGCGACAAUAUCUUUUUUUUUUUCUCAAAUAUUGAUAGAGAAAAUUUUAAAUAUACAUAUAAUACUACUCGAGCCAUUAAAUGAAGUUUGCAAGUUCGUAAAUGUUGACGUUGUUGGUGCAGUUUUUUUAAUUUGGGAUAAUCUAUAUUUGUAGACAACAAAAAAUGAAGUCUACAAGUUAAAAAGCUAUGGCAUGAAUAUAAAGAUGAAGGAAAAAAUUUUCCAAUCCCAUUUGUUAUUAUCUAUAUGUUGUUUUAGCCAUGGUUCUUCUAGUGGAGGCAUGCUUGGAUAUUUUUAUGCAACUUGCUUUUUUUUUUUUUUUUUUUUUCCCCUUCUUUCCAAGGUAAAUUAGUAUUGUAAUUAUUAGGAUUGAGACCAACUUUAAACUCUUUCAUCUUUUUAGGUAUUUUCUCUUGUACACAAUACGUGUAGAAGAAUGAAUGAAUAUUCAUUCCAUUAUAAGUGUCUUUUAACAUAAUAGCACAAUAAUUAUUAAAUAAUCUGAUUAAAGUAUAAUUAUACGAUUAAUUACUCAUUUUAUCACUUCUCUAAAUAAUUAAUAUUUAUCUGAUAUUAAAAGAUAAGGAUAUAGUUUAAAAAUAUUUAAUACACUUUUACUAUUUUAAAAUCACAAAUGAAGUAGUAAAGGUAUUUGUAAUGGAAUGAACAAAAUAACCGCAUAAUUUGUUCGGUCAAAACACUGUCUUAGCAUUCAAAACGUUAUUUUCGUUAACGUUUAAUGUUUUAUAAUUUUUUUACGACACAUAUCUUUAUCACUUGUCUGUACCUUAUUUUCUGUUUUUAUAUAAUUUUUUAUCGUUUUAUAUUAAAUAGUUAAUCAAAUAAUUAUUUAUACUGAACAUUUUUAUUAUAAACCGCUUGAACAUUUUUAUUAUAAACCGCUGUAUAAACAGCUAACCAUUAAUAGUUAAUAUUUAAAAAUUAACCACUACUGGUAAAACAACAGCUCACAACGAAUAAAAUAUUUAAUAGUUAUUAAAACAAUUAAAAUUAUCGAUGGACCCUAAGUUCCUUGAAACUUUUAUUGACCUUGUUUUUUCGCUCUAAUGUUCUGUUCUUUUACCCAAUAUUCUUUAGCUCGUGUGAAUUGGAAUUAAUAUUUUAAUUCUUUCAUUAGAAAUGACGAGAUUUCCAGGCAAUUGCUCUUUUGGUCUCCCUCGUGCAAUGUCUUUUUUCCUUUGUCAAUAAAAUUGUAAACGUCAAAACUAGAUUAGACAAAUGAUUUUUUUUUUUUUAUGAAAUUUUGAUUUUUUGUUUCAAUAAAAUUAAAUUAUAGCUCAAAUAUGAAUUUAAUUGUUUAUGUCCAUUUCUUGGUGUCUCUUUGAGGAAAGAAUGGAAAAAAAAAAUAAUGUAUUACUUUUUUUUGUAAUCAAGAAAUAUUAUAUACUUUAUACGGUAAUAAAUUGAUAUAUAAUUGAAUAAUGUAUACAUAAUUUAUAAAUUCAAACUGACCAGAAAUGGACGUGAAAUCUUUUCAACCCCAGACUUAUCAUUGGAUAAUAUUUUUUUUCUUUAAUAUUUUCUGCUAAGAAUUUAAGAAUUGAUUUAUUUAGGCCAGGUCUUUGAGAUCACUCGUGUAUCAAACUUAUAAAAAAUAUUUUUUUUAAGACAAAUUAUUUCUGACAAUUCAUUGUAAAAAAGAUAAAAUGGAAAUAAUAUUUCAAAAAUCUAUAUUUUUAUUGAUUUGGUCUGGAUUUAUAAACUAAGUUUAGACAAGUAUAAUUAUGAGACAACUAAUUGAUAGUAAUAUUUAUUAUAUUUUAAUAGAUUUUAGUAGAGGUGAGCAAUACUCGUUUCCGACUAAAACUGAAUCAAAUUGAUUUAUUUUGAUCGGAUUUGAAUAGUUAAAAACUCAAUUACAGAUCGGUUUGGUGAGAAAAAUAUUUGCAUUUUUUAGUUUUUGGUUCGGUUAACAUACAUAACUAUUUAAUUUCGAAAUAAUCAAAUUCAAAUGAGCUGAAUCAAUUUAAUUCGGUUUUAUAUUAAUCGAUUUUGGAUUCAAUUACUAUAAAAUUGCAUUCAGUUAGCAGAAUUUGAGAUUAUUUUUAAUUCCGUUCGAUUAUCGAAAUAUUGACCCAAGUUUCAGUCAAGAAUGUCCAACUAUUUUGUUUAUAUAUUAUUUUUUUUGAACAAUGGUUUAUAAAUUAUCUAAUUAUGAAUUAUUACCUCACUUUGAGGAAGUUUGAAACUCAAGUUUUGUUUUUGGUAAACCAAGAUUUAUUUUUCCAUGCAACUUUAAAACCUAACCGAAGGUAAAAAAAGUCUCUGUCUACCAAACUACCAAGUAACAAGCACGCUAGUGUCUAAAAGACAAAAACUUAACACUUGCAUAUCUUAACAUGUAAUUGAGGACCCAUAUCGUAAAUUAGGUUAAAAGAAUAUUACCUAAAAGGGUAAAAAUAUAAAAAUUUUAUUUUUCUCUUUUUAGACACUACUAAUUAGAAAAUAACAUAGUAACAAGAUGAUGCAAUAACUAAAAUAAAUUGCUUGCAUAAGCUAUUGGAUUAAGAACAACUGAAUUUAAAAAAUCAAUCAACAUAUCAUGUAAGAUAUUUAAGCGCAAACUAAAUAAAUGUCAAAAAUAAAGUUUCUGUAUUAAUAAAAAUAUCAAAAAAUUAUAAAAUUGAGAGGAUGUAAAUAUUGAUAAAAAUAAAUAAAUCAGCAAUCCUCAAAUUAAUCUUAUACAACUUAUGUGAUUCAACAAAGACAACAGCAACCGUAACAGCGACAAUAACAACAAUAAAAGAAUAAACUCAUAUAUAAAUAACGAAAAUAAUAUUAUUUUAAUAUUUAAAAUCAAAUUGAUAUUUUUUUAAAAUAAAAUUUCAAAAUAUGAUAUUUAUUACAAUAUUUCAAUAUUUAAAUCUAAUGAAAUCUUAAUAUUCAAUAAUUGAGAAUUCACAUAUGCGUAUACAUAAGCAAAUUUAUUUCACUGCAAUUUAAAAUGUAAUGGCGAAUAAGCUCGUUUCACAUAAGUCCAACUUAUGACAAUCAAUUAUAUAUAUACAUAUAUAAAUAAAGUAGUAUGUAAAUUAUUGACAAUUAUUGAGCAAAAACACAGUAAGUAAGUAAGGAGGUGAUGAUGUUUUACAUCCAAAGCAAAAAACUUUUGAAGUGGGUGAUACUAAAGUAACAUGCAGUAGGCAUCUAGGCAAAAAAGAUUAAAAAGAAAAAGCAAGAUUGAUCAGAAUGGGCGGUGAUUGAGCAAUUAAACUCCAAAAGGGCAAUACCAUAAAUUUGGCAGAGAAAAUCAAAUCACAUAUCAAUAAAAGAGGAAGUGACAAGACCCCUGAGUUGCCACUUGUACACCAGGGUGAGCAUAAACGUGUCCCAAUCAACAUCGUAAGGAGACAGAGAGAGUGAGUGAGUGAGUGAGUUAGUGAGUGACUCAGUUGUAUGUCUCUGUCUGUGCUGACACCACCAACUUCAACUUUUCCUUUACAAUGAGUGCCAACUAAAAGCCAACCAAACCAACCAGCCUUGUUUCUUUCUAUCUCACUCUCUCUCUCUCUCUCUCUCUAUUAGGAGAGAGGGCCUGUGCCUAUUUCUCAACUGCCCCCUCUCAAACGGGUCAGUGAGCAGACACCUCUGAAAGCUGCCUCUCAUUGCAAUUUUUGUACCCUUUCUUUCUUUCUAUUCUAUAAUUGAGUGAAUUCUUGGCUUCUUGCUUUUCCUUUUUCUUGUGUAACAUGCAACUAAAGCUCUGUGGUAACAUGUGUUGCUCUAGGGAUGAUUAAUUUUAUCAAACAAAACAAAACAAAAACAAACCUACUCCUUUUUUACAUUCUUGUUUAGUUGUUUAUCCACAUAGGAUUUUUUACUUUAAGCAACACUAUGCCACUGUAUAUAUAAGAUUUACCGACGGCUGAUAUAUGAAUGGUUUUAUACACUGAGUUAAUACAUAAAGAGAAUUUUUGAUUGAUUUAAUGUAUAGAAUUGGCUAAAAUAAGUGCUUUUUUAUUAAAAAAUAAAUUGAUUUGGGACUUUCAUUCAUAGGAUUUAGACCAUGUAUUGAAAAAAUAAAUUUUAAUUAUUAUUUUUAAAUAAAAUGAUUAAUUUUCAAGUCCUCUUUAAAUUUCUCUCUCUCUUUUUUACAUUAGACAACCAUAGAAAACUUACCUAAAUUGAGUCCAUGACCUCAAUGCAAGGAUCAAAGUAGUAAAAAUAUAAUUUUUUAUUGAAACCAUCGUAUUUCAACCCUACGGUCAGCAAAAAAAAAAAAUUUAUAAAGAAAUAAAAAAGGGGAAAAUAUAGAAAAUAAAGUAGAUCUUUUUAUAAUAAUUUCCAUUAUAUAAAAUAUCAUUAUUUUCUGUCUAAUUGUUUAACCCUAGUUUUAGUUUGAGAGUGCUGCCGUUUAUUUUUUUAAUAAUUUUCAUUAUAUAAAAUAUCAACUGUAGCCUUCUACCUCAUAUUUUCUAUUAGCUUUUUCGAUUCUUUUCUUUUUUUUUUUUUUAAUAAAUUCAGUUUUGUUUUUCUAUAACAGAUAUAUCUAUUUAUUUUGUUCUAGUUGGUUGUCUCCAUAUUUGGAGUUUUUUUGUCCCUUCUUUGUAAAUGUUUAUUAUUAAAUAAAAUUAUGAUAUUUGAUUUUAUUUGGUUGGAAACUUUAGAUUUUGAUUUGUAGGUGUGGAUCUUCAAUCGAUGGAGCUUAAUAGUACAACAUGUUUUUCAAUUGAUGCUAUUGACGCAUAGUAGGGAAACUCAUCUGAAUUCGUCAUAUGUUGCAAAUUAUUGAAAAAACAAUCAAGUUAUAGAAGAUCAAUAAGAGUUAUUAUUUUGACAUAUAAAUCAAUUAACGAACUAGUUGCUGCUAUGGAGAUUUAUAUUUUUUGUUAAGAUCUAUUCAAAGCGAAAAUAUUUAAAAAUUAUAUAUAUUUUUUUAGUUUUAGUUUUAUUAUUCAAAAUGAUAUGAAUUUAUUUGUUUCAUUAAAAGAUCAGUAAACUCUAUUAAUUAAUAAAGUUCUAUAUCUGUGCUAUAUGAUUAUUUAUAAUUAUUGAUAUUAUUAUUAAUGAAUUACAUUUAAAAAAAAAUCUUAUGCUUCGAAAAAAAUAAUAAAGUAUGGAAAAUUUUUUUAAAAAGUCAUAAUUUCAUUAAUUUGAUUCAUACGUAAGCUAUGAAUUUGAUCCGACAAAUAUUUUUGAGAUAAAGAGUAUAAGUCGUUCCCUCGCGAAUUUAUGCCAGCAAUGGCAAAAAAAAACAAAGCUUGAAACCACAACAAUCUCCAAGCCCACCCAAAUCUCACCUUUAAGCUUCAACGCUACCGCUGCUUUUUUUUUGGCUCAGAUGCCUUCUUUUGCAUCAAGAGCUGAAGGACGUGGAGUUUUAAGGGGAAUUCAAAAAAGGACAAGGUAUUUUCUAACCAAAAAAAAAAAAAAAAAAAAAAAAACUACUUAUUGCCCUCCUAAAAUUCAAAAAUUACAUUUUAUUAUGAAUGGCAAGAUAAGUUACUUAUAAGAUUUGCCAACACUCAUGUAUAAAAUCACACAUACAUCAAGCCAAUAAAAAAAAUAUAAUUUUAAAAAAUUGAUAAUAAUUUUUUUUUUCAAUAAAUGAUUAAAAUACCUCUUUUGAAUUUAAAAAAUUAUUUUUAAUUGAUUGAAUAUCAACCGAUCUGUAACUGAGUAAAGAUAACUAAGUACUUCCUAUACCCAUCAUCUCUCCUCAGUGAUACGACGGGAAAUGUCAAGAAAAUAAAGUCCCAAUCUCUAUCUUAAACUAAAAAAAUUUAUAGUUUAUAAAAUAUAAGAUUAUUUGAUGUUAUAUGUAUUAAUAAAAAAAAUAUUAAUAUAUUAUAUAUUUUCGUUUCUAGUGCGGUUUAUUAAUUAAAUACCAAAACCGUCCCAUACUUAAAAAUGUAUUCCCUCCAUCCCAUUUUAUUUAUAUGGUUUGAUAAAAUGUACAUAUUAAGAAUUUAAUCAAUAAAAAUUAUUUUGCUAUUUUUCAUCCUUAAAUCGUUAUAAUAUUAAUAAAAGUUCUCAUUUAAUGAACAAUUAUAAAAAUUAUUAUGAAAAAAAUAAUUAUUUAGAUAUACAAAUUUAAAAACCUUACAAACAUUCAAAAAAUAAAAAACAAGUAAAUAAAAUGGAACGGAUAUAUUAAUUUUAAAUGUAAGACAUGAAGCCUAGAAUGUUAGAAAAAAUUAUCUCGUUUUGAUUCGGAUUAAUUCAAAAUUUCUGCCAUUUAAUACAUUUUAUUUUAUUUCCUUUCAAAAAUUAUAUUUCAUUUAUAAAUUCUACCUUCUACGUCCGCACACUUUAAUUAAACUUUAUAAUUUACAUAACCUUCGUCAGCAAGCCCUUCUUUUCUUUGCACAAACCCAUUUAACUUUUCUUUGCUUUUAAGCUAUUGUCCUUUAGAACCUUGAAAAUUAAUUCAAAACAAUAAAAAAAUAUAUAAUCAAGUGUAAUUAUAAUUAUAAUAAGUACUAAAACUUGAGUUAAAAAAAAUCCAUUCAACAUACUAGAAUUCGAUAAAAGAAAAUUGGGCAGGUAAGCUUUUUUUUUUUUUUUUUUAAAAAAAGAUUUGGAAGAUAAAUAAAAUAGAGUACGUGUCAUAACAAGUAAGGGCAGGGUGACCAAAUGGCAAGCAAGCAAGGGCAGGGAGAGGGUCCUGACAAAAGUUCCUACCGUGCUUUUUAAUGUGUGUUUGCAUUGCACUGCCAAAAUAAGGGCCAAUUCCCCACACCCAGCACCCCCCACUUGUCCCUAUCUCCACUAAUUCUAAGGCCUCUAAUUUUUCUGACAACAAAAAAGAAAAAAAAGCAGUUUGCUUUAUGGAUAACGGCCCAUCACCACUUCCUGUCCUGCCAUGCAGUAGUCCUUGUUUCACUUCUAAUUUUCAGUACAUUAAUAUAUUAAUUUAAAAGUAAAAUCAAUAAAUAUUAAUCAUUCGAUAUUAAUUUCAUAUCGUAAAAAAAUUAUUAUUAUUUACUGAAGUUCAAUUUAGUCUCCAAAAUUUCAGUGUUUAAAGCGACGGGAUUACCAAUAUUUUUUUUAGAGAGAAAAUAAAAUAUAUUUAUCUGUUAGAUAAUUAUAAUUGAUUAAUCGAUGAUCAAAUUAUUGCCGUCACUAUAUUUUUAAAUAUAAAUAAUAAAUGAUAGCAUCAUUAUUCUUAACCACCAUAUUGUCUAUGAUAGUACUGUGAGCAAAUUUUGAUGUUGAUCGAAUGAUAAAACUGAAUCAAUACAAUUUGCUUUUAUUUUUAGUUUCAGUUCGAUUUUCUUUAUAAAUUACCAAAUGGGUUAAAAAUAAUAAAAUCAGUAUUUGAGUUAAUUUGGUUCAAUUUUUUUAGAAGUUUAAAUUGGUCCAUUUUGAAAGCUAAAACUUAAUAAUGUUUAGAUAUCUUUCGAUUUAUUUUGAUUUUUGUAAAUAAAAUUGAAUUAUUUCAAUUUGAUUUAGUUUAAUUUUUCACGAUUGAACUGAACUGAAUGCUUUCUUAAUUUCUAUAUAUUAUAAAUAUGUAUAGAAUAAUGCAGCUAACGGGGAGAAGGAAAAAAUUGCUUAAUUAUUGAAUAGAAAGCGAACCCAAAAUUUGGCAUGACCUAAAUGUGGGUUUGAGUCAUUGUCAUGAGUUUGAAGUGAUGCAAUUUGAAAGCAAAACGAUGACAAAAAAAGACAAUGUUGUGACUUGGAAAUUGAGUUGACACCACUCUUUUUAUGUACCUUUAAAAUACAGUGUUAUUUUAAUUUUAUAACACCCUUAAUUUUUAUUUUAAUCUAUUAAAUAUUUCAGCUUAUAUAAAUAAAAUAAAUAUCAAUAUAUACUAGUUCGAUUUUGAUUAUAUUAAUUUUUAAUUAAUUAAUUAAUUAAUUAAUUUUAUAUAUAUAUCAUUUUAACUUGAUCGAAACUUGUAUGUGAAUUGAUUUAAUGCUUGAUUGAAAUAUUGACAUGGAUAAAAAAGAAUAUAUUUAAAUUAAGAAAUUAAUAUUAUUCUUGAAAAAUCUUUAAUUUGAUUGGUUUAGUUUUCCACUCGAAUCCAAAUCUUAGAGAUAUAAUUCAGAAAUUUUUUAAAAAAUUAUUCUCUUUCUUUAUUAAAUAUAAUUUUAAUUUAAAUAUUUAAUUUUAAUUAAAUAAUGAGCUCCAUAACCCUCUGUGAAAUUCUACAUCAAUAAAAAAUUAUUGCUAAUCAAUAUUUUAUAUUAUAUCAUCAAAUCCCUUAUUUUCUCCAUUAGACAGUCAAGUACAAAACAUAAUUAUACUAUUGUAUUCAAUUAUAUAAUAUAAGAUACCAUAAAAAGCAAUUAUUAAUAUUUACCAUUAUAAAAUUAGGUCAAACGAAGCAAUUAUUAAUAUCUUGACAUUAAGUUAGCGUAAACGGAUUGAUGUGUGUUUAUAUAUACGGAUUGAUGUGUGUUUAAAAAUUAAAAUAUAAGAAAUUUUAAAAUUGUAAAGGGUAUAAUACAAUUACAAUAUAAUUUAAAAAUUCAAGAACUAAAAUGUAAACAAAAAAAAUUCAUAGUUUAAUAAUUAAUGAUUAAAGCGUUGAAUGCCAACAAAAAUAGUAAGAUUAUAUUAUUUCUUGCAGGUAAAAGUUGGUACAUACAAUGACUUCCGCUGAUCCAACUGGCUCUUGGCUUUUUAUAACAUUAUUAUUAAUCAACUUAUUAAAUUAAAUAAUAAAAAAAAUAUUAAUUAAAGAAGUGAGGCUGACUAGUAUUGGGCUGAAAUAUAAGCCCAAAACUCUUGAGCCCAAUCACUUCAAAAACCAUAAUCAAGCGCCAAAAUUUCCAAGAAUAAAACUGUGGAAUUGGCAAACGGAGGAAGUAAAAAUCGCAGCAAUCGAAGCGAAAAGGCCAGUAAGGUAAAUUAUAACUUCUAUGGCAUUUUCUAUAACGUCGUUAGGCAAGAUAAUUUGUAACUGAAUGGUAGGAGGAAAAUCAAUUAGUAAAUUGAUUGUUUUUGGAAUUUCUGAUCAUCUUUAAGAGCCUAAUUUGAGUUUGAAGAGGUUAUGGUAUGUUAAUUUUCUUUGAUCGCCCCUUGUGUAGUUGGAUUACCCUUUUUCCUAAGAUAAUUUGAUGCCUGAUAAAAGAAUCUGGGCAAAUUUCGAGUGGAGAAAAGCUAGCGCUGUCGAUAUUAAUCAAUGAUUGUGUUUUCUCGCAUUUGAUUGUCUUUUAUUCUUAUGUUGUUUGGUUUAAACGAAUAUGUUCAUUUCACUCCCCAAAAAUCAAUUAAAGAUAACAGAGUUAAAUUCUUCCAUUGUACGAGUAAAUUCUAUACUUAAUAGCAUGAGAAUAUCAGAAGCUUAUAUCAACUACAACGCAACUAUAACACUAAGACUUAAUCUCAAACUAGUAAGAGUCGGCAAUAGGAAUCCUUUUUCCAUUUGUUGCUUAUAUAAUGGAAAGAUUUAUGCCUAAACAGGGAGUUGUAAAACGGACACUGACUCUUGAGUGUGCCUGAAAUUGUUGUCUUUUUAUGCAAAAUCAUAAUUCUGUAUUGAGAUUUGCAUAGGCAACAAGCAUCAUAUUAGAAGACGCUUAUAAGUUAAAGGGUAACUGUAACUUUUCAGCUUGUAUAUUGAUGUGCAUCCAUGGGUGUGACUUGAAUUUCAAUCUUAGUCUUAAUGAAUAAUAAUCAUUUUAAUUACAUGCUUCUGAAUUAAAUCUCUUUCGUAUCUACUAAUUAUGUUUGUUACUGUUAGUGAAAUUCUGAGAUUCUUUUAUGGGAUUAUAUGUAAUAUUUAUGAACUAGCUUUUUGUAUAUGUUUAGAGACCACUAUCAUUUGCUAUUUCUCCAGAUAAGGUAAGCAAAAUUCUUUUGUUCUUUCUUUUUUUUUUUUUUUUUUUUUUUCCUUUUUUUUUUUUUUUCCUUUUUUUUUUUUUUUCCUUUUUUUUUUUUUUUUUUUUUUUUUUUUUUCCGGAAUUGGUAUUGCAGAUUGCUGAGCUGGUAUCUGCAAGGUCUUGCACUGAGGUAAAAUUCAGUAGAUUCCUUUGUUUAUUUCCUUAAUCUACUUAUUUUUGAGUAUGUUAGCUUUGUCCCUUACCCAGCCUUUUCUAUCUGCUUUGACACAAUUGUCUAGGUUUAGGACAAGUAGUGAACAUAGGAAUUUUAUUUUCCAACUUUUAGAAAAGGAAGGCAGAUUUGAUUUGUCCAUAAGAAAGCUUAUCAGGUCUUUACCUUAUGGUGUUUGUAUGUAUCAAUCUUCUAAUGACAUUUCCCUUUGAAUAACCCAUGUUUGGGCCCUCCACCCACUUACGACAUACUUUAUAUUACCAUGACUUGACCCCCCCUUUGAUGCCUUAUGUAUCAUUUUCUUGUAUCAUGCCUUCUUAUGGUCUUUUUGGUGCUCUGUGCAUCAUCCUUUCUAAAGGCUAUCCUUAAUGUUCAUAAUCACUCAAAUAGCUUCAAGCUUUAAUCUUUAUAAUAUGCAUGCGUGUUCACGUGCGCACUGAAUCUCAAUCUUCAUAUUUAGCAAUACAUACUAGAUAGUUUGGUGCUAUGCAUUAUGAUUGAAACCUAAUUUUCUGAACAAAACCAUUUUAGAUGUUAUUUAGAAUUGUAAUUCAAUUUUAUAAAAAGAGACCCUUAAUCUAUCUCAUUUUUCACUGUAGCAAAUCCACCAGUAAAUGUGUUGUAGCUCCAGUUUUACUCUUUGGUUUAGGUGGUAGAUAUGGACCCAUCCUUCUCCACGGCCAGCCUUGGCUCAUUUGCCUAAAAUAUUCAAACAAGAUAUAAAGUGUUUGGUUCUCAUUGCAUUAUAGUCUUGAAACAAUAUUAAGUACUCAGAACUUAAAAUUAGUAAGGUUCAGGGUCUGUAUCAUGUUAGACAAAAGAGAAAAUGACGGAUGCUGGCCUUUUACAAGCCCUUGCUAAUAGGGCAUUAUAAGGCUAUGCCAUUCGUUUGUUUAAGAAAGUGUUUCCAUACAUAAUUAGCAUUUACUUUUUUGCACUCAUCAAUAAAUUGCCUUAAAAGUUGAGAUUAGUUUAAUCAAAAUUAGUUAUUGUAAUCUUGAAUGGGCCUCAUUUAGUUUUUGUCUUGAUUCUGCCACUAAUGCUGCAAAAAUUGAGAGGCACUUGCAUGCUUUUCUAUGUUGAUAAUAUGAUUAGACAGAAGCCAAAACCAUAUAUCAACCUCCUAAUAAUUUGAGUUUUGCAAAUAAAAAGUGCAAUCUUGGGAGGAUCUUGUUUCCGUACAACCCAACUUUUGAUACUUUCAUAUCGACCACUAUUUUGUUCUAUAUCUUUCCAUUUCAUAUAGACAAUCAAUUCAAGUUUCAUGCUUGUUAAUCUCAUAUCUUCAGAUUCAAGGUUUUAAAUAACAGUUGCCGUGUAGUUGUGUUGUGUCAUUGUGUAGAGAUGAUGAUUCACUGUUACGAUUGGGUUGAUAUGCUACCUAACAGAGAUCUUCAAAACCAUGUUUAGAUUUACAAAAUCCUUCUUCCCUUUUGCAGUCAUCUACUGAAUUUCCCCUCAUGUAAUUAACGUACGUGAUUAAGUUGGAGAGACUUAGUGGUGAUGAAAUAGAGACUGCCUAAUCCUUCAACUGUGUUAAGCUUCAGGGUAAUUGUAUGAAAUGACAAGCUCUUUCAAUAAUUUCUUCCUUUAAAAAAAAAAAAGAGCUGAAAAAGAGUGGCAGGUGGUGGAUGUAGGAGUUAGGUUAGAAAGAGAUUUUGCUCUGUCCUUGCACAUACAGCAAGGAGGAAAUUACUGUAGAAUAUAUUAUUGCUCACUGUCCAAAGUCAAAAGAUUUUAAAAGAUUAGUGCAAAUGAGUUGAUAUAAUGCUUUGUUUCUCUAUCAAUUUAGUGGAAUAUCACUAAUCAUGCCACAAUCUGAGCAAGACAAAUCCAAUGGUAGACUUUUAAUGUUCUUGCAAUCCAGCCCCAACAACCGAAAAAGUAGAGAGAAAAUAAAGACAAAGAAACAUUACAUACUGUACAUACAGAGAAACAGCUUGGAAAGCAAAUAGCCAUAAGUAAAAACAGAAAUUGUAAAAUCUAGAACAUCAUCAAAUAUUCUUCUCACAACUUCUAAUAGUAAUAACAACAAAAAACCCAUCAACAGAGGAAAAUGUAAUGUACAUUCUCAGAUAGUGCCAUUGGAAAUUGGUGCUCCUAUUUUGAUGCUAUCCAUAUGUGUUGUCUCAUAAACUGGCAGACCACUUGAAUAGAUACCUAAAUCGUAGUUUUGUAACUCAAACAAAUCAGAACUUGAAUCACUUUCAGCUCCAUCAUCCACUUCAUUGAAUUUUCUAAAUUCUUUCUCUUCUGAUGGAUAUUGAUCUACCCAAAUCCUAUCUUUUUCUAUAUAUUUAAGACUUCCAAGAUUCUUGGAUUUCUCAGAAAAUCCAUCACUGAAUUUAAAUUUCUCAUCCAACCAAGACAAAUCUGCAAUCCUUUUAUCGUCCAAUAUCUCAUUCUGUAAGCCUGUAGAUUUCACAUUUCCAUUGUGCUUCGGCAAGGAAAUUACUUGUUUGUGAUCUGAAUAGCUUCUAAAAUCUUUGUAACUCUUUGUAGGAGUAUGUGCAUAAGGAGGAGGUGUUCUAAAACCAGAACUUGAAGAAGAAUACAAAGAUUUUGUAUCAGCACUACUUGAGCUUCGAAAAUGACUAAUGCUACUUCUUCUUUUCCUUCUUCCACUAGGGCUUUCAUCUUCAUCUUUCAUUGACUGUGUUGUAGACUUUGACUUUUUCUUUUUGGAACUUGUUUGAUUGAAAAGAGAAUUCAAGAAACUAGCAAGCCUGCCACCUGGAGAGCUUGGUUGCUUAUAUUUCUUCUCUUUCAAUAUUUGCUUUUCAACUGUCUUAGACUGUUGAUGAGGCAGUGGAGUUCUCAUUGGUACAUCUAAGCUCAUUCUUCCUCCCCUCCAUUGAUGUCUAUAAUCUUCUUUGAUAACUUUCUGUGUAUAACUUGCACCAUUAUAGCCUGAACCUUCAUUGUAUCCUGAAAAAUACCUAGCUGCCUCAAAAACAUCAAGCUCAUCAGAAUCGUUUCUGAGAUGAAAUGUUUUUUUGUAAAGUUUUGAUGUGUCUGAUGAUAGUCCUGUGAUGGACAUGGUUCUGAAUCUCAAAAGUGUUUGUUAUUUGUUGUGUAAAUUCUGUUUGGAAGUUAUUUCACAAGUUGUGAAAGGUACUCAUUUAUUAGAAGAGAAAUUAUAAGAGAGAGAGAUUGUAGAGAGCGAAUGGUUUUUUCUUUUUUUCUUUUUCUUUUUUGAAAUGAUUGAGAAUGGUGGUAAGGAUUUUGUUUAUAAUAAUAAAAUUUGAUUGCAGUGUCUAUGAUAUUAUAUGAUGACGGGGUGUUUUGGGGGAGACCCACAUUUGAUGUGAAUUUUGUGCUUUAUGGUUUAUAGAAGAGAAGUGGGGUACAAGGAAAACAUGCUUUUAUCCUUCACAUAUUGUGAAAACCAGAGGUCUCGUUAUGGAUGGUGGGUGGCAAGUUCCUGUGCUUCCUUGGAUUCUAGGUUUCUACUCUCUUUUAGUGGGAUUGGCUUUUGAGUGGGUGUUGGCUAUGGGUUUAUGGACAUGUACAAUAAGCUUACCUUUGCUCAAUUGCUUAUAUUUAUAUGUGCAAAUCAUCAUUAUGCAGUUGGAGAAUUUGGUAGAUCCUAAUUAACCUUUCUUUUGAGAGCUUGGAAGUCACUCUUUAAUUAUUUAGGAUGUAAUUAGUUUAUUUAUUUGCUGUAAAUCAAAUAUAUGGCCCAGUAAUGUCCUUGCCUUUCCUUUAGGGUGUGUUUGUUUUUGGGGCUUGAGUCUUUUGAUAGAGUUAGCAAGUUAUUGUUCAUCUAUAUAUAUGUAUAUAUAUUCUUUUGGACUAAUUUACGCACCUGUGGCGAUUAUAUUUUCUUUUCAAAUGAAUUUAAAAUAUAUAUUUUCAUAUAUAAUCUAUACAUUAUAUUUUCUUUUGAGUGGGUGUUGGCUAUGGGUUUCAAGAAUCAAACUCUAAUGAAAUUAUUAUUUUCUUUUCAAAUGAAAACUCCAAUUGAAAAUAUGUUCAGUGUGUAAUUUCAAGAAUUGGAUGAAUAGCGACUCAAAAUGACUAGCAAUAAGUUAGCUAGGGUUCAAAUUUCCACUAACGUAUUGGCUGUAAAGUUUGAGAUAUUAGUGCUUGGACUCUCAGUCCCUGUGGGGGAAAAGAUAAUCCUCUUGCAUAAUUUCAAGUGCUCUUUUCACAAUGUCCUUAUCAGUAUGCCAUGGUGCUUCUUUUUUUAGGUUAAAAAAGGAAAAGGUAAGUGGAAUUUGACACUAGCUAGAAUUAUGAAAGCUGAAGUUAGGAUGGAAUAUUUAUGUCUUAGUAAUAAAUUCAUCUUAACUUCACUCAAUUUUCUUAAAAAAGGUCAAAGCGUGGUUUAUUUAAUUUUCUCACGUUAUACGAAUAUUCUAACAAAUAAAAAUUUUAAUUGAAUCCUUUUUAUUCAAAAAAUUAUCAUUAAUUUAGUGAAUAUAAUUUAAAAUGGAUAUUCUUCAUACUAUAAAUUAAAAAAAAAUAAAUAAAUGGUAUUUGUACUUUUAAGCUGACAUACAUUCAAGAAGGAAGACAAAGAACAGGAAAAUUUCUGUAUAGCCACAUGCAUGUAACACUAUUUUGUUCAUGAUUAGUCUCUCUCAUAUUAAGAUUACAUAUGAACUACUGUGUAAUUACAUAUAUGUCCCAUCAACAAAGAGAAAAAGAAAUAUUUUUGAGUUAUAGGCACCUUUUAAAGUGCAAAAAGGAAUUAUUUCUACAUGCACAUGUACAUGUACAUGUACAUGUACAUGAAUUGCAAGCCACUUUUCGAAUUCUUCUUUUUUUGGUGUAUUGCACUAAUCUAUACAGAUUUUGUCCAUUAACCCAUCCCUUCGUGUUGGAGGAAAACAUAGGUUGUACAUGGUGGCAUGUACACGUGUAAGCCAACAGAAGAACGGAUCAGAAGUGCACACGUGACAUGCCUAGGUGUCAUACAUCCCAAAUAUUUGAUCCAUCACUGUAGAUAAAAAAAAAGAACCAGUAGGCAAUCUAAGUUAUUGAUGAUGACAGUUGCAUUAAGAUCAUAAGGUGUAGUCAAUUUUAGGUUAAAGGGACAUAGAACAGUCCUUUUUAAAAACACAGCCACCUCAAUUUUCCUUCUAACAAAAUCCAAAGUCUUACUGUCUUUUUCCAUGGCAAGAUCUGAAGUAAUCUCUUUUUCAAGUUCUUGUUAGAGCAAAGCAAUUAAAGGGUUCAAAGACCACACACUUGUAAUCUUGAUCGUGACUCAUUGUUUUCAUUCUUUGGUCUAAGGAAGUCUAACUCCUACUCUCAGGGGAGGGGACUGAUAGGGUUUUUAAUUUUUCUUUGUAUUAUAGUUCUGGUGUUCACAUGGGUCUCGUUGGCCUUAUUAGGGCCUGGACCAAAACCUAAUCUCCAUGUUUUCAUCAAUGAGAUUUCUUGAAGGGGAAAUAUAUAUGGUGAGAGAGGUUUAACCGUAUCAUGAGUCAUGAAUUCUGAUUUCCUAUAUUAAGAGAAAAUACUUGAUCACUGAGUUUUCUUAACACGAUUAACUUCUUUAAUUAUUACUAUCAUAAUGAUAUUAAAUCAAAAUUAGGGAUGAUCAUAUUUUGGUUUUGAAUUCAAUUGGAUUUAAACCAAUAUAAUUAAAAUCAACACCAAAACAUAAUCGAUGUUUCUAUAUUUCAAACCAUAACCAAAAUAGUAUCUAAAUUUGAUAUCAGUUCUUAUUAUUAAAAUCGAAAACCAUGUUUCCGGUUUCCAAAGAAAUUUUUAGUUUAUUUAUUUAUUAUUAUUACUAUUUUGAGAAAAAAAAUUAAGAUUUUUUUAUCUAAUUAGUUUAGUUUUUCUUUAAUAGUAACAUUUCCUAUUACUCAUUUAUAUUUUAAAAAUUGAAAAAAAUUAAAAAAUUUUGUUUAAUUUCGAUUUUAAGCUGGAACCAACGGUUCUAAAAAACCUUUUCGAAAAUCAUCUAAAACUAAUUCGAUCAUUCUUUAUAAUUGGCGUCAUGCCUAAUCAACAUUAUCAUGUUAAUUAGGUAUACAAACGUGCCUCAAAUGAAGAGUUCACACUGAAAGAACAACAUUGUAAAUGAUGAAUUUUUUUUAUUUUUCUGUAUUUUAAUUGGAUGUGAAUUCUUGAUUUUCUUCUAAGAUAGAUAUUUGAAUCCCUAGUUAUUAACUCAUUGAAUUGAAGAUAUUCCAUUACUGAGUUAUUAUCCUAAAAAAUAUUGAAUGGAGAUUAUUACAUUAGGGAAGUAGAAACCACAAAUUAUAAGAUAAAAGAAAGUAGCAAAACCCCAUUUAACCACAUGCCUAAUGUGCCUCAAUCUAAGGUCCAGGAAGGACCUACCCAAAGAAGCCAGACUGGCCUCUGUCCACAAGUAAUAGUAUUAGGCCACUUGUUACAGAUUAGAAUGAAAUUGCAAUGGCCAAUGAAAAUUUGUCGCUUCUCAGAAUCUUUAGCUAAAAUCUACAUCCCAUUUAUAGCCAAUUUGUAUAUAAUCUCAGAAAGAUACAUGUUCUCUGUUUAGUUGCUUUCUUUUAUUAUCCACCACUCCUUAUAAAAGUUACCUUCCAUGGUCUUCAUUAUUUGAUGAGUCCCAUCUCUCCAUUUAAUGCCUUAUUUCCAUCUUUUCACUUGAAAAAUCUUUGAUUGAACAGAUUAGAAAUGAACCGAAAGAGUUGGUGUAGUGUGCACUUCUUAUACAUAUAGACUUAUUAGUUGUUUCGGCCUUAGAUGCAGAUGCUGACCCAAACCCUUAUUUUGAUUCACUUAAACUAGUUUUAGCCCAUCAAAAGGUCUUUGAUUUAGGUUUCAAAGCCCAAUUAUUGGGCCCACUGGACCCACUAUUGUUCCUUGAGAAUCAGACAACAUGGACCCCAUUGCCCUAAAGCUGUCUCCUAAGCUCUCCCAAAGAAUUAAUACUCAUUGCUGGCUUCCAAUCUCCAAUUGUUGGUUUGUGAAUAAAUAGGGCAAGUUUUAUCAUGGAGAUAAGAGAGAGAGAGAGAGAGAGAGGAGAUAAUGAGAUCAUUUGGGUAUGUGGGUAUAUGUUGGAAUGAAUUUGAUUGGCAACUAUAUAAGGUAGAGAUUUUUUUUUUUUAAAAAAAAGAAAAAUCCUUUUCAGUAAUAAUGACUGUGAAACCCAUUUGAUGAUUUGACACUUUGGUUUAUAUAAAGCAAAGCUGUUCAAGAACUUGGUCAUUCUCAAGAACAAGAGUAGUGUAUGUCCAAACUUUAUAGCCAGCCAAAACACACAUGGUAUGCCCAUUUAAAACUCAGGUGAGGACGUAAGUUCUCUUCAAGUAAAGGGUUACCCUUAACCACCCACCCACCCACCCUUCAUUUUCUUUGUUUUGUGUGUGUGUGUAAUAUAUAUAUAUAUAUCUAGGAUUUCAUUAAUAACUUACAUUAAUGAAAUAAUAUGCAUACUACGAGACAUUAAUGAAAGAAAGAAAACAAAUGAUAGAACUUACAUUAUGAUGUAUAGUACAAAGUAAAACUGAGUGUGAAGACACAUUUCCAUUGGCUUCAAUUCAUAGUGUUUCCAAUGUGGAAGUGGUGAUGAUGAGAUGAGGUCAAUUUAAUAAUUGAUCUCUCACACACAAACAAAUCCAUAAACUUGUGAAAAAAAAAAAAAAACAUAAUUUCUUGUUUUGACUCUGCCCUGUGUGAUUGCUUAAUGUACGUACAAAGCAAUUUGGGCCAUGCAGGCUCACAAUAUUAUAAUUGCUUCUUUGACUGUCCUUUUCGUGAUUGCUGAAUGUACAGCAAAGCAAUUUGGGCCACGCGGACUCAUAACAUCCAUCAUUCGUUCUUGACAAAUAUUUCAUUUCGGCCCAUUCAGAUUCAAAAAAAAAAAAAGGUAAAAAAAAAAAAAAAUUAUUUUAAAUGGCCCAUGCAGGUCUCGAACCUGCGACCUUGGCGUUAUUAGCACCACGCUCUAACCAACUGAGCUAAUAGGCCGGCUGUUGUAAAAAUUUCCUACAAGCUAAAUCAGAAAUACUUUUUGAAAUAAUUAAAUAAAUGCUUUAAAAAGUUCUCCUUACGAUAUAUUCCGCGAGCCCAAUAGCAACCAAUCAUCUUGCCUAUUUAUCCCAAAUUUUCUGUUCCCUUUCGAGAUAGUUCAAAAUUUUAUACAAAUUCCAUUGUCAGUGGAGGUGGCAAUUCCUUAUCCGAAUCUAUAAGUUUACUCUUAUUUUUUGGUAGAUCCACCGAAUAUAAGUUUUUUUAAUUAUUUAAAAAUUUGAUAAAAGAAAUAAUCUAAUCAAAUUGAGGUUGUUCACUUAUAGCUUAAUUUUUAUAUAAUUUUCUAAACUAAUACUUGAAAUGGGAUAGAGAGAGUAAUCAAAAAGUCUGAUUUUCUGCUCAUCUUUUGUAAAACAGAGAAUGCCUUCCAUGGCCUUAUGAUGUACAUAUGAAUAGUGCUGUUUAAUUAGAGAGUAGAGAAGCAUAUAUUCUCUAUAUAAAUUGAAAGAGUUAAAUGUAAAAAAAGAAAUAUUUCAUUUUUCUUCCUUAAUUUAAAACAUAAAUUUAGGUUGGUUCUAUCCUUUCUUUGGUUUAAUAUUUCACGUAAUUUUCCUACAAAAAUAUUUUUCAUUUAUGUAAAAUCCGAAUCGCAUAAAAUGGUUAUCCUUUCUGUUCUUAUCGGUUUCUUUUUCUUAUACAGACAGUUUAAAUUGUAAUCUUAAACGCGAAUCAUGUUCCUUUAUCUAAUUUGGUUGAGGGUUUGUUUUAUCUGUGAUCUUGGACAGAAGGAAUAAAGCAUGCAUGAGCACUUUUUUUUUUCUUUUAUCAAAAUAUCUUAAAAGGGAAUAGUAUGUCAAGUUAGUCUACUGAGAUGUACACAUUUUGUAGGACAAUGUAAAUUGCUAGUUAAAGAUUUCGUUUGCAUGUUUCUAUAUGUACAUAUUACUUUGGUUUUUAAUUUUUUAUGGUUAGAUGUUGAGCGCUCUCUCGUAAUGUCAAAUGUAAUUUUUGUGGGUGAAUUUAGUAUGAAUUUCGAUUAGUCAGGUUGGUCGUGAGUCUCGGAUAUGCCAAUAUGAUUAUUUUUCAUGUGAAUAUGAUUAGUAUUAUAAUUCAUAAUAUGCCAAUGUUCCUCUUCCAAAUGUAUUACUAAGAUAAUCUUUGUGAUUAGGGAAAAGCAUUAUUAUUUCAAUUCUAUAAUACUUGUCACAUUUAAAAUUUUACGUUUUUUAAAAUAUCAUUAAAUUUAUCUAAGUUGCAAUAAAUUAUUGAAUAAAUUGAUUAUAUUACUCUUAAUUUAAUUCUAAUUUUUAAGAAAACCAUUAAAUUAAAGUAAUAGUUAUUGAUCGUAUAUAAAGGAUAAAUAUGAAAAGAAAAGAUUUAUUACUAUAAAUGUAAUCAAUAUUUUAAAACAAAUUAUUUUAAAUUCAAAUUUAAUAUAUGAUUUGCAUUAUUAUUUCUUUUUCUAAAUUCAACUCUGUCAUUCUCAGUAUAGUUAAAAAAUAUGAGAGGAUCAAUCACACCUGACAUUAGCUAUUGUUAUUAUUUGCAUUAAAUAAAAUAAAAUAAAAUAAAUUCGAGCGAGUGACACAUGUGACAACCCUAAAGUCCGAGGUUGACAGAUUGGGCAUUAGAGUUUGGACAAUAAAUUAAAAGUGAAAUUCUGAUCCAGCGGACAAGAGAAAAGGGCAAUUGAUGCUAUGCAACCAGUGACAAGUGGACACGUAAAGGAAACAGUAAGUGUUGUCAUUACUGACCGGUGACUGAAAGGCUUUCUCUUGGUUCAGUCUAAUGGUGUUUUAUAGUACUGCGAUGAUGCCCUUAUGGGAAUGGCUGCCCCUCCCUGCCCUGCCUGCCUACGCUAAAUCAUGCAUUAUGGUUAUGGACGCUCCAUUUCUAUACCUAUCUAUCUCCUUUUUCCUGACAAAUAUAUAUAUAUAUAUAUAUAUAUUAUUUCAAUCCUUGCUGGAAAUUCGAAAGAGGAGCAAUUCUUUUCUCUUGAAUUCUAAAUAAUAAUAUAAACGGUAUACCGGCGAACACUGUAUAUAUGAUAAUAUUAAAAAAAUUUACUUAAAAAUACAAUUUAUUUUUACUUAUCAUUUGGCAUCUAUAUUUUUUUUUUGAGGGAAAAAGAAAACCUCUCUCCCUUGUAAUAAAUUGAUGGAGAAUGGAGAGUUGCAUUUUUCUGAUACAUGAUAUGAUUUGUCGGAUACGUGGGUAGCUCGCCAUCCUUAUGUGACGCCUCUGAUUCUGAAAUGUCCCCCAUUUUCUUCAUGUAAUUUUCAAUUCAGUUGCAACUUUAUUUUUACAGAAAUUUUGUUUUGUUUAAAUAUGUUAAUGACGUAAAACUAUAUAAAAUUUUUUAUAAUAUUUUCUUUUUUUAGUUAGAAAAUAAAAACAAUAACUAUAAUAUUCAUAAACAAUUCCAAAAUUAUUUUUUCCAUCGAGCUAUAUGUUUUCUUAUAGCUUAGCUUCUUCCAAAUUUUAAUUAAUUGGUCUUCUUCUUCUUCCUCUUAGAUGCUGACUGAUGGAUUCCUGGACUAGAUAACUAUGUACCGGGGAGCAUUUUUAAGUCUACCUGUCGAUUUUUAACAUUUAACGUAUAUAAUUUUAUUAAUUGAAAUUUACAGUUAUAUAAAUAUGAUAUAUAACCAACAUGAAUUUUUAUUUUUAUUUUCAACUCAUUUAUUCUUUUGUGCUUAUAUUUUUAAAUUGUUACAAGAUAUGAAAGAAAAAACUCUUUAUUUUUUCAUUUCCUCAAGUUUUUUUAUUUUUCUAUAACAAAAUUAAAACGAAGACAAAAUUGUACGAAUGCAAUUUAAAUUUUUUAACAAAAUAAAAAUAAAAUAAUAUGAAGAUUUUUAAAUAUUUACGGUCAUAAUUCUUAUAGUACUUCUUUGAAUUAUUUCAUAUAUAUAUAUUUUUUAUAUUUAGAAAGUGAUAAUAACCUUGCAUUGCAUAUUUUUGAAAGUUAUUUGUUACUAUUCCCUCGCUCUAAGAGUAAAUUAAUCAAAUUUAAUUUAAUUUUGUAUUUAAUAUUAAAUUUAUAAUGAAAUUGACUUAACUUUAAUAUAAAAUUAUUUUGGUUGGUUCAUCCUUUUCAUUAUAUGUCAUUUAUUUAAUUUGUAUUUAACCAAUAUGGGAUUAUGCACACACUUCAAUGGAAAUUAUUGAAAUUUAAUUUUACUUUUACCAUUAUUAUCUGAUUUGGAUCGAAAAACAAAAAACAAUUAAGCAUAAUACACCGAUACAUUAUGAUCUAGCAAUAGAUCCAAAUUGUAAUUUUAUCUUCGUACUAAAAGAAAAAAGGCAUAGAUAAGAUGGGUUUACUGCCAGCUUUGCAACACGUAUGUACUAUGCCCUUUUGGGUUGCUUUGACCACUGAAAAUAUAUAUUUUUUUGUAUUAUACCCAUUAAAAUUUUGUUACCAUAUUAAAUAUUAUACUUCAAAAAUCUUCGAUUGCUAACUAUAAACCUUUUUUUUUUAAUUUUUUUUAAACUAUAAAAGCCUUUUCUUUUAGAAAAAAAAAAAACAAUAGUGAUGCAUGAUUUUAGCCUUUUUUUUUUUUUGAUACAAACUAAAAAAAAAAAAAUUGUCCAAAUCUUACAAGCUUAAACCAAUAUGGAUAAUAUAUAAAAAAAAAAGUUACAGGACUUUGUAUUAAAGUUUACUUUUGAACAAUUACUUCUGGGGAUUGUAAAUCUAUUAAUUUUUAUUAAAUUCAAUAGUUAUUUAUUUAUAAGUUUUUGAAUUUUUCAAUUAUAUUUGAAUAUAAGAUUUACUUCCGCGGUUUCAUAUUAAAAAAAUUGUGGUUUUCUUUCUAGAUUUGAACCCGAGUUUGAGUUCAACUCUUUCAUUUAAAGAGAUUAAUGAGUAGGUACGAGCUUAGCUCAUUAAUCUUAUUGACUAAGGAACUUUUUUCAAGCUGAAUACUAAAUAAUUUAUAACAGAUUUGACUCGUCUACAACUCGAAAUAUAAAAAUCCACUGAGUCACUAAUUUAAUGACGCACCAACAACCGAGGACGCUUUAUAAUAAAGACAAAUUGACGAGUCAUUUGGUUGAAGAGCAGUUGCUGUAUAGGCUGGCUGAUAAAAUUGAGAACUCAUAAUCAAUAAUGGUAUGAUUUUCACCAAAGAAGCAUAUAGGGACAGUGUACUAAAGUUUUCUUAUUGUAUAUAAUACAGAUUCAGAGUGUCUCUUUACUUAAUAUUUAUUGGAAGACCAUAAUCUAGGAAUUCACAUGGUUAAGAUUUAAUUUUGUUAAAAAACAUAUAAAAUAUUUUGUUUUUUCAAUUUUUAAAAUUAAUUUAAUUAAUAAAUGAAUAUAUCGUUAUCCAUUUUCCACGUUAAUAUUUAUUUAAAAUCUGAUUUUGCUUUUGGAUUUAUAAAAGGGAAAAUUAUAAAUAUAAUUCCAUAUUAUGUUAAAAUUAACUACUUUGUUCUCCUAUAUUUUAAAAUACACUAUUUUGCUCAUAUGUUUUUUGACUAUUAUACAUUAUUGUUGUUUAGUUAAAAAUUUUCAAUUUUUUCAUUGAAUAGCUUGUGAAAUGAUAUAAAUACCUUUAAAUUUUUAGUAAAUUUAAAUUUAAAUAAAUAUAAGAAAAAUAAAAUAAAAUGCAUUCCAGCAUAAAAAAUUAAAACGAUAACAACUCCUCCCUUAGGCUUCAAAAUAAGAUUCAGAAAUGAAAAACAAUUCAAAGGGUGAACCAAAACGAAGAUAAAAAGAUACAUUACUCUUUUCCUUUAAAUUUAACAGCAAAAGAAAUAAAAAUAUUAACGAAAAGAUGAAAUAGUUGGACGAAAUGAAUAUAUGGGAAUAAAAUCUUAUAUUUUGAGAAAUAGAGUUACAAAAUAAUUAAUUUAAAUUUAAUAUAGGAACAAAUUUAUAAUUUCCCCAUUUAAAAACCCUAAGAUAAGACUGAAAUAAGUGUAGGUCUAUAUAUCUAUCUUGAAAAAGAGGGUAAAUUUAUAAUUUUAUUAUUAUUUUUAGGUUUGUUUGAAGAGAUAAGAAAUUUCGUGAAUAUAUAUAUAUUAUCAAGGACUAGGUAAUGCAAGAAUUUCUGUAGCAAAUCAGAAUAGGAAAGAAAAUAUAAACAAAUGUGAAACUUCUUUUCAGGAUGUAUUUUAGAACUAGGAAAACAGCUAGCCAAUGGGGAAAUGCCCAUGAAAGAAAUAAAACAAACAUAUACCAAAAAAAUAAGUGGGGGAGAAUACCUACCUAAAAGCAAGAAAGUGAAAAUAAAUUGAACAGAGGUAAUACUUUGAUAGUAAUAGUAAGCUUGUUCUUUUUCUGGCCAAGAAAAUCUGUACAAUCUAAUAGCAAAACUAAGCCCAAUCAGCAGCUACAAGAAAGCAUAAACCUAAAUUUAAAAAGAAAAGUUCAAAAAAAAAAAAAAAAAAAAAAAACAUAAAGAGCCCCACAUUGUCUUCCUUUUCCUCUCUCUCUCUCUUUGAUAUUCCACUAAAAGGGUAUCGUUUAUUCAUUAUCUUACUGUACCAAAGCUAAUGUCUGGCUAUUAAACACCUAUUCUGAUAAAAGACGAACCAUUUCUUGCCCUAGGAAUAAGGAGGAAAGAACAAGAAAAAAAAAAAAGAAGCAGCACAUAGAUAUCUAGGUGCAGCGAUACAUAAAAAAAUGGGGAGAGGAAGGGUAGAAUUGAAGAGAAUUGAGAAUAAAAUAAAUCGACAAGUAACAUUUGCCAAGAGGAGAAAUGGGUUGCUUAAGAAAGCUUACGAGCUAUCUGUUCUUUGCGAUGCAGAGGUUGCUCUUAUCAUUUUCUCUAAUCGUGGCAAGCUUUAUGAGUUCUGCAGUACUUCUAGGUAUGAUGCACCUACCCAAUCCUUUUGCUUCUUCUUUUUUUCUUUUCCUAUUUUAUUUUAUCCGAAUUAAUGCUUUUAGGAUAAUAUUAUUUAUUUAUUAUUUUUUUUGUUCAAGUUUUGGUCUUUGAUGUUUUGUUUAAUUUAUGCUGUUUCUUUAUCUCUUUUAUAUUUUUUUUAAUUGGUUAUUAUUUUUUAUUUUCUUGGUCAAGGUUUCUGUUCCUUGGAGAUCUGAGUACUAAAGAAACCCUUUUCUGCAUAUAUAUAUAUAUAUAUAUAUAUAUAUAUAUAAUAUAUUCCCAAGAAAAGAAUAACUUUCAGCUUAAUGUCUAAUUGCAAGUAAUUGUUCAAAUGAAUUUCCUAAAAUAUUAUUCAUAGCGCUGAGUUUGCUGUUUAUUAUUAGUACUGUUACGAUUCAUAUCUGGAUUGAAGACCCAGUUGCUUAAUUGGAAGUGAAAAUAUUUUAAAUUCUAUGAUUCCAAGAGUAGCUGUUGGAUUUAUUUCUUGUCUGAAAAGGAAUUAGAUAUUUGUGGAUUAAUUUCCUAAGUGCAAAAAAUAAAAGACAAGAAAAGAAAAAGGGAUUCCUUAUACAAAUCAAAAGAUGCUAACUUUCCUUUAAGAGUUGAGAAUAAAUACAUGCACUCAUAUCUGUUUUCCUUAGUUUAUCACUGUUUAUUUUUAUUGCAAAACCCAAUACUGAAGAAAUUUUUUCACAAUAAAACUUCUAUUUGAUUUAGGAGCAUUAAGUGCAAUGUUCAAGUAAAUUAACCUUUCUUCUUCUUUUGCCUUUUUCUUCCAAGAACCAGUGCUUUCAUUACGAGCCUUUGAUAUCCUCUCCUCCUUGUUACAUACUGACCAUUCAUUUACAAUAUUUCUAAUUUGGUUGGUUGUUUAAGCUACUCAGUUAUAUAUAUAUAUAUAUAUAUGUAUAUUAGAGUUAUUCAUGCUUUUAUUUUUAAUUCUACAUUUAUUAUUUGGUAAAUUUUAUAUUUGUGCAUAAAUAUAUAAGGACAAUUUAGCGGUUCAACUAGGUUUAUUUACUGCCAGUGAAGUUGGAUUUUUUCUUUUUUCUUUUUUUUUUUUUCUUCUGGUGGGUGAAUAGACGAGCACAACAAGUGUAUGCGUGUGCGCGAGAGGGAGGGGGAGAGAGCGUAAUAGGCAAUUCAUUAGUUUUAAUGUAAUUUGAGAAUUAUGUACUUACAAGUUUAAUUUAAUGAUAAGCGCAUAUUCAAUUUGGAUAAAAAUUUAGACUUUUCACUUAGCAUUUGAAAAAGAUAAUUUGAGAUUGUUAAUUUUAUUGUAAUUUCUUAUUUAUACUUUUAUCAGGAAAUGAAGUUUCCAAAAUAGGAUGAAACUAAAUAACAUAAAGGAUGUGGACAAAUGAUAAAUUUGGAAUUAAGUGGGGAGAAUGACAACUAUAAAAAUUAAACCAAGAUGGAUGAAAUGCAAAAAACUAAAAAUAUAACAAGAGAGUUUCAUGUGAAAAAGGAAUUUAAGCUAGAAAGAAAUAACAUGUUCAAAAAAAUUUGCAGACCAAAAGUAAGGAGUUUAUGAUGAAUGUAUUGAGAUAGAAAAAUACAUUAGGUAAGGACUGAGUGCAUGAAUAAAAGGGAGUGAUGUUGAGAGAAGUCGAGAGAAAAGAGAUUGAAGUGAUGGAAAAUAACGAAGUAAUGUGCCCUAGUUCCUAGAUCAACAGAUUGUUUCCUUCAUUAGAAAAAAAAAAAGAAGCAAACUUUCACUAAUUAUUAUUGAAAUAAAGCAAAUUUUCAAGAAUUCAAAUAACAGGCUAUAAGCAAAACACAACUUUGAUAUGAUUAGGCAAAUCAAGCCAAACUCUAGGCUAGCAUAAAAAGAAGAUGAACAACCUUGUUGGCUAGCCUACAAAUCCAUAACAAAGACGUAUUAUUGUGUUGGCUUAAUAGAAUAACAAUAAGAGAUAAAAGUACCCCACUUAAAAAAAUCAAUAGCAUUAGCUUAAACAACAUUACAUACAUCCCUAGUAAUUGUCUAAAAAGUUUUUGGUAUCUUUGCGAGUAUUCUCAUAUCCUUUGUAUUUAAAAUCAAUUUUGUUUUAAAGCUCGUGGUUGCUCCUCUCAUGAGUGUUUUUUUAUGGUUUGAACAUUCGACCUAAGGAAAUGUUUAGAUUAUUGCAAUUUAAUUUUUGUUGCAAUAAUUAGUUUGUGAAAAUUCUUUUUAUUAUAUAUAUAUAUAUGUUCAUGCUUUGUUCUCUUGCUCUCAAUGUGGAAAAUUUUAACUUGAACUUUGGAGGAAAAUGUUUUCCUUAGAUAUACAUGUAGCAUAAUAAAUGGAGGUGAAAGAAUUCUCUUCUAGAUUAUGUUUAUGUGAUUUUUUUUAUUCCUACUGUCUUGGUUUUGUGUUUGCCUUCUCUCAUAUAUAGUUGUGCUUCCCUUACCUUUCUCUCUAUUUACCUAAACAAAUACUUUUAAUAACUCAUUUAUUUUCUAAAAUAUAUUUAAAUCCAAGGCCGCCUUCAUUAAAAUGAUAUUUCCUUAUUCAGUAUAUUUUCUAUCCUUCUACACCAAUGCAUAAAAAAAUAAAAAUAAAAAAAAUAAAAAAAAAAAAGAAGAGAGAGCAUUGAAUACCGAUAAUUUCUUUGCAACACAUUUGGGAAUCUUAAAUAUUGAGAGAAAUUUGGCCAAAGUGGUUUUUUUUAUAUAUAUUUAUUAAUAGUAUAUGUUAAAUCUAUUACAUGCAAUAUUUAUUAUACUAAUAUGUUCGUUACUCAUUGCUAGACCAUAAUUCUACAAAUUGUAGUUUUUUUUUUUUUUUUUGAAAUUUCAGUUUCUAGCAUCCUCACUAGUCAUUAUUAUUAUUAUUAUUAUUUUUAUUGUUAAUUCAUAGCAUGGCAAAAACAAUUGAGAAAUACCAGAGAUACAGUUAUGGAGCAUUGGAAACCAAUCAAUCUGCACAAGAUACCCAGGUAGAUAUAUCCUUUAUUUUUAUUUUAAUGCACAAAUAAAGCUGCAAUUGGUUUGAUAGUAAGUUAUUCAAGUUUAGUAUCAAGUCUUAAAUUUUGUUCAAACUUAUUUUAUCCAAAUUUUGAAUGAGUUCGAGCUCGUUCAUAGCCUUUUCAACUGAUUGAAGUUAUGAAUUUUGAUAUUUUGCACUAUCUAAUAUCUAGUAAUCGUAAUAUUGUAUAUUCUUUGAAUAAUAUUUAUAAACAUUUCUUUUUUGUUUUAAUUGCUCAAACAGAGAUGCUACCAGGAAUAUUUGAAGCUAAAAGCAAACGUGGAGGUCCUGCAGAGCUCACAGAGGUAAUUAAACUCUAAUUAUUUUUUUGAAUAAUUAAUUAAUAAGUAAUGCACCAAAUCAAAUAAUUAAUUAGAACAUUUUAUUGUUUGAUUUUAUAGAAAUCUACUUGGGGAAAAUUUGGGAGAUCUGAGCACAAAAGAUCUUGAGCAGCUUGAAUACCAACUUGAUUCCUCAUUGAAGCAAAUCAGGUCAAGAAAGGUAAGAAACUGUGAUUUUAAUCUUGCUGCCAUAACCAGUAACUCUAUCCUAUAUAAAUCCAUAUUUUUAUAGUUUUAUCAAAUUAUAUUUUUUCAAUCCCAAAAAAAAAAAAAAAAAAAAAGAGUAUGUUGAUUAUAUCAAAACCAGAAAAAAAAAAAAUUUAGUUUAUCAUAGGUAGGGAUUCUAUUGCUGAAAUAAUAACCUCUAUACGAAAUACUAACAUGAAUAGAAAAUGAACUGUUCGAAUAACAUCUACUAAUAUCAUCGAAAACAUUAUUAAAAUACUUUUACGAGAAGGUUUUAUUGAAAAUGUCAGGAAACAUUAGGAAGGCAACAAAACAUUUUUAGUCUUAACCCUACGACAUAGAAGGAAGAUGAAAGGGCCGUAUAAAACUAGACUAAAUUUAAAACGAAUCGGCCCACCUUGUGAUUUUAAUCUUGCUGCCAUAACCAGUAACUCUAUCCUAUAUAAAUCCAUGUUUUUAUAGUUUUAUCUAAUUAUAUUUUGUCAAUCACAAAAAAGAAAAAUUACUAAAUAUUUUAAUUAGCACAAUUGAAGUUAUGCAAAUAGCAAAAAAGAAUAAAGAAAAGGAAAGUGGGUAAUACAAGUAACCUUUUUCUUGAGAAAAGUGCUAAUGUCAUUGUUAAGUGUCACACCCUAAUGGAAGAUCAAUUAGACUGUUGAGAAGAUUCCCGAGAAAGAUUUUCCUAAUCCAACACAGUAAUUCCAUAAUUAUAUGUUAGUCAUUUGUAUGACUUCCUGCACCGCCAAACCCGAAGGUACAAAAAAAGUCAAUUCAACUAUUUGACAACAUGUCUUGUGAUAAGUUUAUAUUAUGAGAAUAUCAGAAAAUAAUAAUAAUAAUAAUAAUAAUGAGUGAUUUUAUGUGAUAAGAUAAACAAUUUAUAUGGCGAGAAAAAAUAAAAAUAAAUGAGGUGUCUUAUUAUUUGACACUAUAAAUUUAGACGAAAUAAUAUAUAUGAGUGAAGUAAUAUAUAUGAGUUGAUGGUGGGUUUAUUCAUAGAAAACUUGAUAAAGUGAAAGAUUAUCUAGGGUUAUACGGUACGAAUAAUCCUUCCCCGUAAAUAAUGUUCACAAAAUUAGAGAUAAGCAAUCAGAGACUUUUCGCUUCUCUUAUCCUUCAUAAGACAUUUGACAUUUAGAUUAUACUUAUUGUCAACUGUUACUGUCAUUUACUGUAUCAAUUAAUUAAAACAAUGAAUUAAUGGAGAAAAAAGUGAACAAGCUAUUAAAUUUAACAAUUAUUUAAAGGUCAAAUACAUCGUGGUUUCACUCUUGAAUUUUAUUUCUUGUGGCAGCCUCAAUUUUUAUUUUCACUUAUCAAAUGCUUCAAUUUAUAAAAUUACACUUAUUAUACACUUCAACUUGUAAAAUUAUAUUAAUUAAACUCCUAAUUAAAUAGUUGCAAAAUGUGAAAAUUACUAUCACAAAAGUUAUGCUAAUUAAAUCAAUAUUUUGCAUAAAAAAGCCAAAAACCAUAAAAAUUAUUGCUGUUAAUAUGAAAAUAUGUGUAAUAUUAUCAAAAUUUAUGAAUUCAAGUGCAAAUAUAUUAUGCACAACGUUCAGACUACCAAGACAAUAAAAUUGCAAAGUUCACAAGUGAAUUAUUUACUUUGCUAAUAUUUAAAUCCAUUAACUUGUUAACAAUUUGAAAAAUGGAAGGAUUUUCCAUAAAUGACUUAAUACAUUUUAAUAUGUGAGUCAUAACCUUUUAGCCUUAUUUAAUUUUUCUGUUAGAGAUAUUUAUUGCUUUGGACAUGAUAAAGUGAACUUUCAAGAGUAAGCAAAGAUCUUAUAAUGCAUGUGAAAUUCCAAAUUAACGUAUUCCUGUAGUUUUACAAGAUAAUUAGAAUGGUGGGACUUGCACCAAUCUCUCAUUUGAAUAUUCUUGUUCAAUUUUGCAGACACAAUUUAUUGUUAAUCAACUUUCUGAACUUCAAAGGAAGGUAACAUAUAUAUAUAUAUAUAUAUAUAUAUAUAAUUCCGAAAUAAUUUCUGCCUUGUAUUUUUGUGCUACAAACAAAAUGAAUUUACUUCUCUUGCAGGAAGAAUUAUUGCUGGAAACCAACACUGCUUUAAGGAAGAAGGUAAGGCACUUUCAACUAGGUUUCUAAACCCAUGCAUGUUAUUUGAUUUAAAUUUCUCUCUCUAUAUAUAUACACACGGUAGAUAGUGUUGUUGGUUUGGGACGAUGUCUUUAUUCAAAAUGUAAAACUUGAGCAAUCCUCAUUCUUUUGAGCUAAUUUUUGGAGAGUGAGUUAGACUCGAUCCAUUUUGCAAUAUAAUAUCAGAGCCUGUCAUGCUUCAAUGUUAGGCUACUUAUAAAUUUCACGCUCUAAAUGUUCAUACCCGGCGAGGGUCCAUUACAAACUACUUAUACGGUAAGAUCUUGUCUUAUGGACAGUUGGAGGAAACAAAUGCAGCACUUGAAUCAUCAUGGGAAGGUACAGAUCAAAGCGUUCCAUACAACUGCCAGCCUCCUCACUCAGAGGGUUUUGUUGAUCCUUCGCUGUGCGAUAGUAAUUUGCGAAUUGGGUAAUCAAGAUUUUUACUUAAUACAACUUUUUUUUUUUUUUCCUUCAAUUACACAUAUAAUUACUUUCAUUAUUUCUUGUUAAUUACAGUUACAAUGCGGUGGAAACAGAUAAAGUUACUGUUGCAACCACAGGACAAAAUGUUGAUGGAUUUAUUCCAGGGUGGAUGCUUUAAUUUUUUGUUGAAAAAUUAAAGAAAUUGCACUGUAGAAACAAUAAGUGAACAGAAUAAGUAGAGAAGUGUAUAUGAUUGCUCAUAAUUUGGCUUCUUGGGCAAUAUUUAUUAUAGAUGCCUUUAUUUAGUGAUUGGAUAAACUUCCUGUAAUAAUCAAAUUUUAUUGUUCUACUCCAUUUGGUUAAACCAAAGUUUGUACUUGAAUAUUUGUUAUUAUUAUAAAGUUUUUGUAACCAUAUACUUGUAAUUUGUAAAUAUUAUUUGUAUGCAUUUGGAUUUUUUCUGCAUAAUUUAUUUAUUUAUUUUUUAAUUUUCAACCCUUCCAUUAAGAAUAAUCAAGUCACUAUACUUUAAAUUGAAUAAAUAAUUGACUGAUCCAGUAUUUGCCUCACGUUUAUUAUCGACGGCUUACAUUAUUAUGAUGGCUCGAUUUGGAUAACUUAUGUCAUUUUCUGCGGUAUUAAUUUAGGGUCAUGUGGGUUCAUAUGUCAAUGGUUUAGGUAUUAAAUUGUUGCAUGUUCUAUAUGUACUUGUCAUUUUCAACCAAAACAGAACUUCCCGUAGGCUCAAAUCUUCUGUCAAGGCAGGACAUAUGAUGAUGAUGAUGAUGAUGAUGCGCAUGGACCGUUGAUUAUCAAUAACAUAAUGCAUUAGAUAAUAGUUAUCUAUAUGUGUUAUGUUUUUAAUGUGGAUUGCCUAAUUAAUACUGCAAUUAGUCUUAAGUAAUGUUCAUAUGAUUACUAACCUUUCUUUCAAAGGUUUCGAAUCAAAAUGCAAAAGUAUUUGGGCUUGACUUGAUUUGAUUUGAAAGGAUUGCUUUAACAUGUCGGUAGGUCAAUUAUUUAUUAUAGAAGAUAAAAGAAAAGCAAAAUAGGAGCAUGAGAGGAAAGGAAAGGAUAAUGAUAAAUUCUAUUGAAGUGACUGAAGCACAUUAUAGUAACAAUAAUAAUUACUAUUGUUUCUAUAUUUACAAAAAAAAAAUAAUAAUAAUUACUAUUGUUUUUAGUUAAGGAAUAAUUAAUUUAGAAAAAAUAUAAUAAAUAUAUUUAUAAAUGUAAAUAAAUAAAUAAUUGACUUAUUACAUGGAGCUAAAUGACCACAAGCACCGUGAUUGUAAAGAAAAUAACUUUUUUUUUUUUAAAUUUAUCAAUAAUCUAAUUUAUUUAAAUUAAUUACAGUUUUAACAAAUGCUUUGGGUAACCUUCGUGUUAGUUUAAUUUGAAAUUGUUGAAUUUAAUUUUGAAAAUCCACCCAAGUUAAUACCUAAUUUAUUGCCUUCGAGUUAGAUUUCAAUUUUGACUCGAUUUAAUUAAGUUAAAGAACAUAAUAGAAAUCAACUCGAAGUCAUUGAUCUAAGUUGAUUCUAGUUCUUGGUAAGGUAAAACGAAAGUAAUCCAAUCUCUUACACAUUAGAUUAAUCCUAGAUUAAUUUGACUCGAUUUGUUCAAAUUUAGGUUAAAACCAAUACUUGAACAACCUUAUUAAAGCACUUUUUAAAGGGUAUCUAAAUAUAUUUUUUUUAUCCAAAAUAGUUGGUUUAGUAUUUGCAAAAUUGGUGGAUAUUAGAUUCUUUACUUAGUCACGAGAUCAAACAGUACGAAAUUAGUAUCUUGGCAAGGGCUUUAACAUUAUAGCUUUUUUACACAUUAUAGUUUUCGAGUAUGAAAUCUAAAAUUAAAGUAACAUAUUUUUCUUGUUUUAACUACAACUAUUUUCGGCCUAUCGAAUUAUAACUAGAUUAUGCUCACACUCGAUAGGCUCCGUUAAGGGAUAAAGUAACACGUUUUUGGUAAAUAAUUAGAAUGACAUGUGUAUUACCAAGUCGCAUUAAUUGCUACCACUUGCUUAGUUGCCUUUGGAAAAUGCCCCAAAGAACCAAAAAUUGGCGAUUUGAAGUCCCCACAUUUCAGUUUCAGGCAUAUGUCACUACUGAAUGUGACCUCCAACAAACCUCUCUCUUACAAUAUGUCAAUUAUACCCAUUAUAUGUUUAGUCUGUUAACAGCAAUUGUUUUGCAUCAAAAGUCCCCAUGACCAUUUUGAAUGAUUGCUUUCCAUAAAGAGGAAAAAGGAUAAAAGCAUAACAUAUUUAAGAUAAAUAGAUUUUUUAGAGUUGGACUUUCCUGUACUCAAAUUUAUGACAGUAUAUAAUCAAAUCAACGAAAAUAAAUAUUUUUGAAAAAAUUAUAUAUAUUUUAUAAUAUUUUUUAAGUGAAUAGUUAAAAAUAUCAUAAUUUAACAAAAAAAUUUAUUUUUCAAUAAUUUAGUCUAUACAUUGAAUAUAAAUAAAUCAAUCUCUUUUUAUUGGUACUGUGUUGAUUGAGAUUCAAACUCAAAAUUUUUUGUCCCAAUAUUUUUUUUUAUACAAGAAAGGAAACAGGAUUUUAGAAAACUACAAGCAAAACGUUAGAUACACCCUCUACUAGGGGUGAAGGGAAAGGGAAUUAGAGAGGUGGGCUCUCCCGGCUAGGAUUUAAAUAAAUUGGGUAAAGCAUAAAAUACGACAGUCAAAUGGGACAAAGCGGUGGGAUGGCGUUUAAAAUAGUGGAAAAGAUCAAGUUUUGAACCUCGGAAAUGUAAAGUAAUUUUUUUUUUUUUUUUUUUUUAAGAGGAGGACAAUUGACCCCUCUCCUAAUAUGAAGCAAUCCCUACUAUCGUCAAAUAACAAAAAAAAAUUAGUGCCUAAACAAAAAAUUCGAGAAUUUUAAAGCUACUAGGAUUAAAUUGUCCUUCAUUUAUAUUUUUUCUUUAUAAUUUUUAGUCCAAUCAAUUUAAACGAAGUUGAGUAUGGAUAUUUGAAAAAGAAUUUUAAAAUAUUUGAGAUAGAUGUGGAUAUCAAAAUUUUAUACAGAUUAGAUAUGAUCGGUAUAGAUUUUGCGUGUACCGAACCAUUUUCAUCUCAAAAUAUCAAUCAAUUAUUUAUGUGAUGGUUUAAUUAAUAUGAAUUACAAAUAAAUUAGUUCAAUAAAUUGUAUUUAAUGUUGAAUGUGGUAAUAAAGUAUUUGAUUAAAUAAAUUAGACCAUUAAUUUUUUUAACGUGAGAUAAUUAGAGCAUUAAACAAGUAAAAGAUGUGUGGUCUAAGCAUUACUUGAUUGGCAAUGAGAAAGAAGAGAAAGUGGGAUGAAUAAAAAGAUAUUGGUGUGGUGGUUGGAAAGGUGCUCCCUCCACAAAAGGGAAAUAUAAAAACCUAGCAUUAGCAAGCAAUAUAAUGAGGCCAAUUCUCCUUUUUCUAAACUACUGCUGUAGGCAUCAAUGCAAAGCAAAAGGCUACUCUCUCACUCUUCAACCAAAUUCCCAUAAAUGGCCAAAUAUUUUUUUUUCCUUUUGUUCUUCUUCUCAUCUUUUUUUUCCGCCUCAAAAUAUAUAUAAUUUUUGUUUACUAGUUGCAACUUGCAAGAGAUAAACUAUGUAGUUCGUACAGUUACUUAUAGUAUUUAUUAUAAAAUUCUAUAUCUUGGGUAAAUUUAUUACUAUUAUUAUUUGAAAUUUAUAAUUGAUUAUACAUAUAUAAUCUGUGCACUCGCAAGUAUAAUCGAGUGGUAAAAUACAUAUUUAAUUUGAUAUUUGGUAAAAUUAAAAAAUAAUAUUAAAAAUAUAAAUUUUCCAAGUAAUAACGUUGGACGGGUUGAAUUUUCCUCCUCAUUUCUACAUAUUUUAUGAGCUUUAUCCUUAAUGUGUUUCUUUAUAUAUAUAUAUAUUAUAUAUAUAUAUAUAUAUUCGAUCUGAAUAGAAUAACAUAAUAUGCAUGGGAGACGCAUCUUGUUGUUUGCCAUGGUUAAUUUGAUGCUGACAAUCGAUAAGGCAUUCGAUUCUCUUGUAAGUUUAAAGAAGGACUUUUAUUUUGAUUUGUGCGAGAUUUCAAAAACAGCUUGAUUAACCUAAACUUUUAGUUUUGUUUAACUACUAUUUUUUAAUAUAUAGGUUUAAAAGUUUAAGGGUUCAAAGUCAAUAAAUAAAAUUUUAAGGGUUUAAGUAUUGAACCAAAAUUUUACAACUAAAUUAAUUAAUUUAGAAACAAUAUGAUUUAUCACCAUUGUUGCCACUCCGACGGGUGAGAUGGGAUAACGGAAAUUUCUUCUCUUUUAAAUAAAGGUUUUAAGUUUGAGACUUAGGUAUGGAGUAUUUUUAAAGAUUUGCCCCUCUUCAGGACUUGCUCAGCCUGAAUCCGGAUUAAUCGGACCAAUGAGCUUUGAACACGAAAUUUGGUUAAAACCAAAAAAAAAAAAAAAAUCAUUACUACCCCAUUUAUUUUUUUAAAAAAUUACUGUAGAAUUAAAUGACGUAAUUAACUCACUUUAAAAUCCAAAAAUAUAGGAAUAGGAUCAUGCCUUUGGAAAUUUUGAGAUAUGAGAAUUAUUGGGUUUGGGUUGUAUGUAUCCUAAAUGCAUAUCUUACUCCUACCACGACUAAAGAUUCUCUAUGUAUGGUUUUAUUUGUUUGAUGUUACAAACCGAAUGGAAUAUGUGUAGCUUCAAAUGGUAAGGAAAUAACCAACUACAUUUAUCACAUAAUUCACAAACAAUCACUUUUCUUUUUCUUAACAAAAAAAAAAAAUUAUUUUUUACACAUUAUUAUUUUUGAUCCUAUGGUUUUUGUUAAUCUUAUUCACGAAUGAGAUGGUGGGUUUGGAAAAGCAAGGUGCUUCGGGUGGUAAAUAAAUUGAGGUAAAUUUGUCAUAUCCUUAAUUUUGUCACGCUGUCAGGUUAUGUGAAAUACAUGUCUGUCUAUGUAAGCGGACACAUAUGUAUCUGUUUGUUCCACUUAAUCUCAUUAAAAGUUCCAGUUAUCCAUGUCAUCUAGAGACACCAAAUUAAAGAAAAAAAAAAUACAAGUCUGAACACUCAAUUGUUUCAAUUUUUCGUUCAAAUACCAAAAUAGAAAAAAAAAUGUCAAGUACAGGCACAAAAAAUUAACAUUAACCCUUUUUUCUUGUGUGAUUUUUUUUUUUCCAUUUUCUUUUUAAUAGAAGAAAUUAUUUACAAAUAUUUAAUAUAUAGAUUAGAAUAAUAAAGGAAAAAUAUAUGUUGAAAAUUUUAUCUAAUUAAAUUGAACCAUUUUAUACUUUUAAAAAAAUUCAUAUAAUUUGCUUUCAUACCUUUAUUAUCCUAACAAGCGAUUGUGUUAUAUAUAUAUAUAAAAAGAAAGUUAAAAAUAGGAGAAUGAAAAUUGAUACUACAAAAUAAACAGCGAGAGUGCUUUGAGUUGUCAAUUUUACAGGCACAUUUACCCGCACUACGUUGCGGGCUUCCUACAGUAUUUUUAUUUAUUUAAUAUUUAAUUUUAUUUAUAUUUUUUUUUAAAAAAAUAUUUUAUUCAUAUAAAAUUGCAUGUCUUCAUCUAUUUUACUAAUAGAAAAUUUAUUCCAUUAAUACAUGUAAAAUCGUAUUUUGAAUAAUAUUUAAAAUAAUUUUAUAAUUGUUUUAGGGUAUCAUGCUCUCAUAUUUAUUUAUAUUUUAAUAUUAACUAAUUUUUUAAGAAAAAUGUAAAAUUCACACUAAAUUUUUUAUCAUUUUUUGCUAUGAAAAAAAUAUCGAAUCCACAAAAAAAAAAAAAAAAAAAAAAACUAAUUUUGUGUUCCUCAAUUUCUCAAAUUUUAUCUAUCAAGUGAUAUGAAUUUUUAAUGCUUUAUCGAUUAUCUUCAUAAAUUGCUCACGAAUCUUUUAGUUCUAGUAAAAAUAAUCACUUAAAAUGAAAAAAAAAGUCAAUAGAACAAUAAUAAAUUAAAAAGUUUAAAAUUUCAAAAGUUUAAUAGUUUUAUAUUUAUUAAUACAUGAUAAUAUAAUAAAUAAUAAAUCAGUUGAAUGCAUUGUCAUUUAAAAAAAAAAUCGAUUAAGUUAAUUAUAAAUUAAAUAUAUCAUAAGUUCUAAAAUGAAUUAUUCAAAAAAUUUAUACUUAUUCAUCCAUUUAAUUCAAUUUUAUAAACUCGUGCUAAGCUUUAUUUAUAUAAAUCAAAAAGAAAAAUCAAUUCCAUAAUUCAAAUAGUUAAAUUUUAAGAACUGAGAUACAUAAUUUAUUUAAAAAGUACUAAAAGAUGACUUAUGAAAAAAAUUUUGAUGGUAAUUAAUUGGACCAAUGAAAUUAAAAUAAAAUAAAUAUUAAUGUGGAAAAGAGACAAACACCAAAUAUGUCAUCUUUAAUCUAAGAGAAUGAUAUAUAUAUAUAUCCAAAAUUCAUUUGUAGAGUCAGAAUAGUCACAAAGCCUCUAGGAACAAUUAAAAUAGAAUAGGAUAAAAAAGUGAUGGUUUAAAUGGCAAUUCACCGUAAAAAAUGCUAAAGUAAUUAUUUAGUGAAUUUAAUCAAUUGAGACUGAAACUUAUAUUGAGUCAGUUCUAUAAUAAAAAGAAAAACUAAUUAUCAUAAAUUUUAAACUAAUAAUACUAAAUGUUAAGGUAACUUAUUUAUUAAAAGUAUUAGACUAAUUUAAUUUACAUUGUGAAAAUGGUGAAGAAUUAAGUACGUGGCUAUACCAGUGUUAAAAAGACGUUAAAUUGAUGAAAUUUAUAAAAAUACAAUCAGAAUUGUAAGGAUAAAUGAUUAGAAAUGAAUAGGGGCAAAACAGUAAAGAAUAAAAGCUAAAACACUAUUCAAAUGAAGAGUAACUUCUAAUAUAUGACAAAGGGCAAAAUGGAGAAAAUAUGGAAAAGACGUGGUUUAAUUGGAAAAAUACUAUUUAGUUCGUAAAUAUGAUAAAGGGCAAAAAUGGGAAUAGGAUGAAAAUGAUAUGGUUUGUGGAAAAACAGUAUUCUAUGAAUAGUGUUUUUGGGUUUUGUUUUAGUAUAUAUAUAUAAUGGUACAUGGAGAAUUUAACCAGACAAUUAGGAGUCCCCUUUUUAGUUAAGAAUCAACCUAAUCUUUAAAGGUUUGACUUUCUUAAUUGGAAAUAUAAGAUUAUAUAAAGACAGGCCUCACAUCAACUUUGCAUUGGCCCCAUUUCUUUUUUCCUUUUUUUUUUUUUUUAAAUUUCGUAUAAUACAUAAUCUACAAUUAUAUUUUAAGCCUAAUUAGCAUGAUUUUUUUUUUUAUAAUUGAAUUAAGUGAUUAAAUUCGAAAACAAGUUGAAAUGUAAGCACUGUAUAAUAAUAAUGUAAAACCGAGGAAUCUAAGCACGCUAAAAUAUAGUAUAAUUGUAAGUGCAUAUAUGACCAAAUUAGUUAAAACCAGCAUUAAACCAUGGUCAACGGUUCUGGUUCUAAAACUAUAACCGAAACUAUAAAUUUAAGGUUCAGUUCCAUUCCUUUAUUUUGUGGAAUCAAAACCGACAGUUCUGGUUUGAAAUCGUGAAAAAUAUGUUCUUAAAUAAAUUUUCAACUUAUUUUUUUAUUUUAUUAUAGUUUUUUAAAGUAAUUUUAAAGAAUUUUUAUUAAAUUGAUUUAUUUUUUUUCAACAGUAACAUUUAUUAUUAUUCUUAUUAUUUAUUCAAAAUUUAAAUCUUUUAAAAAAUAUUUUAAAAAGUUUAAAAUAUAUUAUUUAAUUUCAGUUCAAAAUUGAAAAAAAUCAAAAUCGACAGUUUCAAAAUUAUUUUUGAAAUCGUAUAAAAACGGUUCGGUUCUAAUUUCAUCUUUUUUAUAUCCAAAACCAUAAUUUCGAAAUUAAAACCGAUAAUUCUUAAACAUGCCUAUUUUCCGAUUAUUUAUAUUGGAAGAGAAGAGGUUGCGUUGUGUCUCAGGAUUAGGAAUACGAAUAGCAUAAAGUAAUGGGGUAGUUCACGUGAGAGCUAUUCCAAUCCACAGCCUUUUCUUAAUUUGUCAGGCUCAUUGCUAUUACGAACGCGUAAUCCUAUUUUAACUGGAAAAGAGACAGAUGCAUCGAACCAGAAUAUGUUAUAUUGUGAUUUUAACAACAAAAGGUAUGAGAAAAGGACGUUUUUAUUUUCUUUACAAAUAUUUUUCUAAUCUUUUUUUUUUUUUCGUGAGGAUACCUUCUCUGUUGAUUUUUUAAUCUUUCUAUUUCCAUUGUCUUUACCAAUCAUGGGUUAGAUCAUACUACUGAUAUUUUUUUUAUUGAUUAUUGGUUAGAGUUCAUGUUGGAGUGUCUUGACACAAUGAGAUGUGGUGUGAUCCUGUGCGGACAAUAGAGCGAAAAUAUUUUUAGUCGUGCGUUUUUCAAUCUUACAAAGAUUGAAAUCGCUUAUUAUUUUAACCAACACCUUAAUUAUUAGUAAUAAUGAUUAUUUAUUAAUAGCAUAGAAAUAAUAACAUGCCGGAAAAUUUAAACGAUUAUAAGAGCACCACAACAAAAGAGUGGAGUGAAAAUAAAGUCGUUAAUCUUUAUUUUAUUGAUCAAUAUAGAAAUUUCUAAGAGUAGUUAAAUGAUAAAGCAUGUUUGAGUUUAAUCAACGCUAGUUGAAGUCAUACAUAUAGGAAAUAAUAAUAAAAAAAAUCAUACAAAAUGUCUUUAAAAAUCCUAUAUUAUUAUUGACCAAAGUCAAAGUGUCAGCAUCAUUGUUGUCUUGGCAAAUUGAAGUGGGUUGUCCUAAAUUUGAUAAAUGUCACAGUUUGAAUAAAUUUGAUGACCCAAACCGCAAUUCUUUUCUUGUUUAUGAAUGUGAUAAAUGGAACCCACAAAAUUCAGAAAUGUCAAAAUGCUGUUAAUUUAACACUUGACAAGAGACCAACGCUUUCUACUUUCAGUUGCUCUCCUAAGUGCAGCAGCCUACAGCUGUUACAUAUUACUAUUACGUUUUCCAUAAUCUGCAAGUUCUAUCAACAACAAAACACAAAAAUAACUAAAUAUAUUAAAUAUCGAAAGGCAUAGUUUUUAUGGGUUUGCCUUUUCUUUUAAUUUGAUAUGUACAAAUUCAACUUUUUUUUGAAAAAAAAAAAGAAGUACAAAUUCACCUAUGAGGAACCGAUUGUAUAAUAUGGACAGUAGAUGGCCUUUUUUUAAUGUUGUUUUUAUACUACGACCAACGUAGUAUUCCGUAAAACCUUUCCAAUAGUUACAAUUUCAGAUUUUGAAUCUUUUAACCUUUUUAGUAGUAUUCAGUUUUUACACCAGCUUAAUCAUGAUUUAUCUUGAAUUGUUUAUAUCCAUUUUUGCUUUAGAGCAAUUCUAAUGUGACCGUAGGUUGUGGCUUAUAUAGCAUAUUAAAUAGAAGAUAUUAAUAAUGAUGUGACUAUAAGUCUAUUUGUAAAUAUUAAAUUUGAAAACGGGCUCUCCAAUGUAUCAUAAUAGGAUUUUUACGAUGACGUGUAUUGUUUUUUUAAAAUUAUAUCUAAUUAUAAUAAAAGAAAAUAAGUUGAAAUUUGAAAAAUAUUCUGUUGAAAUUUGAGACCUCUAAUUUCUCGUAUAAGUGAAAAGACUAAUCAAACCACGGUUGAUAUAUAUUACAUUAAAUUUUUUUUAUUUAUGCAUUAUAAAUCAUUAUAGAAGUGAAAAGAAUAACCAGAUUAGACACUUGAUUUAAGAUUAUUUUAAAAUUUUUUACUUGUGGAUGGUAAGUCAUUAUAAGUCAUUGUAUUUGGCACUAAACAGUUGCAUAAUAAUACCAAUUCAGAAUUAAGAGUUAAUUACUAAGAAAAAAAAAAUCAUAGUUUGGUUAAAGAAACAAAAACUCCGCCGUCAAUACUAAUAAUGAAGGUAUGUGUUGUUGGGUGACGACAGGUUCGACCAUACAAGGAGUUUCCAUAGUCCGUAGAGGAUCUGACACUGCCAUGCCACCAUUAGUCUCUGUGGCCUCGAAUAUUACAUUCCUAAAUAAAAAUUAGUAGUAUAAAAGAAAGUAAAUGCUAAACGAACAUUAAAUAAGAGUUCUUUAUACAAGAAAAUGAGGUUUUUUGCACAUCAGGUAAUACGGACUCUGUAGUACAAGCAAUAGCCAAUGAGAAAUCGACAGCAAAUUCAAAAAAAAAAAACCACUCUGGUAUGUGAAAACCUGCCCUUUUCCAUAAAAACCACUAUCCCCCUCUCUACCUCUCCAUUUUCCCAUUCUAUAUAUGUGCAUGCUUUCUUGGGAAAGCUUCAUAUGUAGCAAGAAGAAAAAUCCUAUUUAUAACCCUUUCUCUAUUUAUACAGCCUCUCUUUUGGUUUUUCUUUUUCGGUAUUUUCUUGGGUUUUGGCUGUUUGGGUUAUUUUGAGGAAAGAAGAGGAAAAAUUUAUACAUAUUUGUUGAAAUGGGUAGAGGUAGGGUUCAGUUGAAGAGAAUAGAGAACAAGAUCAAUAGGCAAGUAACAUUUUCCAAAAGAAGGGCUGGUCUGUUGAAGAAAGCUCAUGAGAUCUCUGUUUUGUGUGAUGCUGAGGUUGCUUUGAUUGUUUUCUCCCACAAAGGAAAGCUCUUUGAGUACUCUACUGAUUCGUGGUAAAUUUUUCUUUCUUUAUUCUUUCUUCAUUGAUAUUUUUUUUAUAUGUAUAUAUGCAUAUGGUUUUUGUUUAGGUUUUCUUUCUUUCUUUUGUUUAGGUUUUAUCAAUUAUUACAAGAUCUGGGUUUAGGGAUUUUGUUUAUCCAUUUUCCUCAGUCCACAUUAAUUUUGGGACUUUUUUUAUUAUUUUUUCAAAUUUAAUUUUCUUGGUUUCGUGGCUGUUUCUUCACAGAAAACCUUAUCCAUUUUUCUUCGUACAGAACACAUUAUUGUCUACAUAUAUGCAUGAAAGAUAGAUAUCUUGCAUACAGAAAAAAAAAUAUAUUUAUGUAUUUAUAUUAUCCUUUUUUUCCAUAAAAAAUUUUUAUUUUCUCUUGUGAAAAUCAGUGACUGAUACUCUAGGUAUCAGAGUUUCUGCUUUUGGACUUAAUAUAUGUUGCAUUUGAAGUUAAACCACUAUUUAGCAUCUUGAAUAAUUUAAUGCAGAGAGUUUAGAGGCUAAUAACAUACUUCAUAAAUUUUUUUUUUGAAAGGGACUUUAUAUGUAUUAUCAUGUUCUAAAUAUGUUGUUAUUAUUAUUAUUAUUAAAGUAUUUCACCCUCAAAACCUAGUCUUUUACUAAAUUCAGAAAUGUAAUUUCAGCUUUAUAUUGAUUUUCUUUUCUUUUCUUUUUUAAUUUUUUAUAGCACUAUAUUAAUCUUUGACAUAAUCAAAGGUGCAACACUUAUACUUGAUUUUGUGAAAAUUUAUAAAUUAUAAUAAACAUAUAUUGAAAAAGAUUUAAUUGAAUUUACUCUCUUUUUGCCCCAUUUCUUUUUCUCGCAAAAGCUGUGGAUUUCUACAUGAAAACAGAUAUUAUAAAAAUUAGUACAUAAUAUUGUAUGGACAGAUUUAUGCAACCCAUCUUGACAUCUGUCUCAGAUCCACUGCCAAUUUAACUGUACUUUUGACUUCAGUUGUUUUAUUGUCUGCACGUUAUGAUGUUAUAAUAAUAAUAAUUGCAUCGGGAGAUUGAUUUGAACUCUGGAAGAAUAUAAAUCUACGAUCCCUCAAAAGGAGGUCCAAAUUUAAAUGCAAAACCUAUUAAUUUGAUUAGUCUUUUAUUUGGUUUUUAGGAUUAUACCGUAACUACUGGUUUCUCUUUCAGUUGUACGGAUUUUUAUUAAAAAAUGUUUUAUUUUAUAUAAUUAUAUUGAGUUUUCAUGUGUGAAAUUAAUAUAAUUUUAUGAUAAAACACAAAAAUCAUUUCAUGGUUUUUUCUGUUUACUUUAAAAUAAGGGUUAUUACAUAAUGGAUAAAAUGUGCAUCUUAGUACUCACAAUUACUUUCUUUCUAGGAAUGUGUUCUAGUGCUUUUACUUAGUGAAGUCUUUAUGUAAUGAUAACUUGUGCUAAUUAUUAUUAUCAUGUUUUUCUUUUUCCAUAUAAUUAAUUGAUGCUUAACAUUUUUUGUUUUCCGUAAAUCAAAAAAUAUUUAAAUUUAAUAUAAAGUUUGAAUCUUUAAUCUCAUGCACCGCGAGACAGACACUUGACUUAAUUUCUUUGAAUCUCGACAGAUGAUAUUCAAUUUGCUUUUUAUUACAUGUUUGUCUUUUUGGAUAAGCUGGUUUGAUGUUAUUACUGAUUAAAUUUCUUGGUAACUUAAUUUUAAUAUAUGCUGCUAUAUACUUCCAUACAGUCAAAAUGCUUGUAUGGAUUUUUAUUAUUAACAAUUGGCUUAUGUUAUUGUUUUAAUACUUAGUCAUGCAUACUUGCUGCAUUUUGCUCACUUUUGUAUCUACACGACAGGGUAGCUUUCUCCUUAGUUCGUCAAAUUAGUAAAAAUUUUUAUAAUCGAGAAAACUCGAGUUUAAAACCUCUCACUACUGUUUAUAUAAGUGAGAAGAUCAACUAAAUCACGUAUAAUUGACUUGAAUUUUUAUUCAUAUUAAUUAAUGUUAAUCAUGUUAUUAGCUUUGCUUCUAUUGAUUGUUUUCUUUUUUUUUCUUUUUUUGAUACUGUAGAUUAUGAGGUAUUCUUCGGAUAGUUUAUGCACACCGAGUGCUAGUGUCAUUAGUACUAUUAUUCCUGGAGUGCGCACUUCCUAUAGUGGCACUGAACCCUAAUUAAUAAGGAAGGGGAAUUCUCAUCUCUUUCAUAUCAACUGAAUUGACUCCACUGGAUUGGUUCUUGGUUGUGACUUCUGGAGAAUGUGCAAUUUUGAGUAUAUUGCUUAUUCUGUUUUUUAUUUUGUAUAUAUAAUUAACGGAAAAUUUUGUGCUUAUUUUUUCAAUAUUUCAUAUCAAUGCCUCUUUUGAUAUCUAAACUGCAGUAUGAAUCAUGAACAAAACAAAGAAAUUCCAGUGACUUGUAGCUGUAAAAUUUAUGUUUCUCAAUUGCCAAUUUGUGAUUCCCUAUUUGCUCUUAUUGCAUUAUCCAGUGAUGUUUAAUAUUCUUUAGUCCAUCAAACCUGUUAACCAACGUUGUUGAUUACUUUCUUGUACAGCAUGGAAAAGAUUCUUGAACGCUAUGAGAGGUAUUCUUAUGCAGAAAGGCAGCUCAUAGCAAACGAUCUUAAUUCACAAGUAAGUUCUCUAGUACAAGGACGAGUUUGGAUUCCUUGUCCCAUCAUAAAAAAUUCAGAGUUUAUAUAUAUAUAUAUAUAUGAAUCAAAACUCAGUAUUAAUGGAACCAUAAUAUAUAAAAUUAGUGAUUGACAAAUGACAACCAUGAGGUUAAUUAAUUAUAUAUGCAGGAGAAUUGGACCCUGGAAUAUAACAGACUCAAGGCGAAGGUUGAGCUUUUAGAGAGAAACCAUAGGUACUAAUUAUUAGUGAAUUUAAUUAUUUUCUUAAUUAUCUAUUUUCCUUUGCUGUUAUUCAAUUUAAUGAUAAUAUUCAAACCUCAACAGGCACUAUUUAGGAGAAGAUUUAGACUCAUUGAGCUUGAAAGAGCUCCAAAACUUGGAGCAACAGCUUGAUACUGCUCUUAAGCACAUCCGAGCAAGAAACGUGCGUAUAUUUUAUUUAUGUAUUUAUAUAAAUGCUUAAAUUUCCUUUUAUUUGAUUUAUAUUAACGGAUAGUAGUAACAUGUUUGCUUUUCUUGCAGAACCAACUGAUGCAUGAAUCCAUCUCUGAGUAUCAGAAAAAGGUAAUCGUUAAUCAAAAUUAACAAAAAAUUGCUUUCAAGCAAUUGAGUGAUAUUGCAGGAGGAACUAGGGUUUCUGCUGCAGUUUUUAAUUAUUACACUGACUAUAUACAUUAGCAUUGUUUUCAUAGAAUGAAGAAGAUAUAAUUUGCUUAGAUUCGGUAAAAUUUAAUUACUUGAUUUAGAACAUGUCUAAAUAAGGGUAUUAGUAGCUCAGUUACAGAAAAUCCAAUGGCUUAAUUAGAGCCAGAUACAUACAGCAAUCAUGUUAGCCUGCAACAUAAUGCACUUGGGCUUGUUUAGGGUUUUAUGUGCUAAAUCUUUUGGGUUCUAAAAUUUGCCUAAAGAAAUUCCAUAGAUUAUAAGCAUUUAAAGAAUGCCUUUAGAGCUGAAUUACUAAUAGCUAGUUAAACUUCAUCCUUCUCAAAGUAUUGUUAUGGACAGAAAAACCCUAAAGUGCAGGUUCUCUUUUGUUUUCUGCUUGUUAUAAAGUUUGUCCCAGAUGAAGCUAAUCUUGCGUCAUGAUAUUCUUUUCUUUUUCUUCUUUUUUCAUCUGUGACAGGAGAAGGCAAUAGAAGCGCAAAAUAGUAUGCUAGCAAAGCAGGUAACUUAUCUUUAUUAUUCAAAAGCAUACAAAUCACUCUUUCCAGUACUACAUAGAGAAAGGUUCAUAUAAGUACAUAGAUUGUGAAAAUUGCCAAUUGCCAAGUUCGAUUACUUUUUUGACAAUGCCAAAUCAAAAGGCAUUCUGCUUGAAGAUAACAGGAAAUUACGAUUUUCAAACUGGUACGGCGCAAUUCUUGCAGUUUUAUGAACUUUGUUUCUUAGAACAGUAGAAUUACUGAGUAGGAUUCAAUAUCUAGAUUACAUAGAAGAAUAGGUUUUGAUAGUACAGGUACUAAAUGGGUAUCCCACUGUUUCACAUUCCUAAUUAUAGAUUAUCUGAUAAUUUUUAUUAAGAACCAUUCUCUCUCUAUACAUAUAUAUUAAAUAAAUUAAUGAUAACUACAAGCUUUUUUAUUUUUUUCUUUUUUGUCAAUUGGGUAUCUAUUGAGUUCGAACUCCCAAUCUUAUAAUCUUGAGAACGACUUCUAUGCGAAAACUCAUAGGAAGAGUUGAAUUUUUAGGCCAAGUGGUUGAAUUACAACAAAUUUCUCAGUGUUAUAAGAGACUGCAAUGAGUCUUCAUACAAAGGCUAUUAGCAUACAUGAUAGUAAUAUGUGUAUGUGUGUAUAUAGGAUAAUUAUUGAUGACUAGAAACUCAAGAUUAAUUAGUUUUGUAAUUUUGUAAUAGAUUAAGGAGAAGGAGAAGGCAGUGGCACAGCAGGCACUUUGGGAGCAGCAAAACCGUAACACCCAUAUGUCACCCUUCCUUGUGCCACAGCAACCACUUCCUUGUCUAAAUAUUGGGUAAUCCAUUUUUAAUUUGCUUGCUUUUAUAUUAAUGACUUCUUAGAAUAUACACAUAUUUCCACUGUCUAAUUAUUUGACAUGUGAUAUUACUUAUGUGCAGUGGCACUUACCAGGAAGAAGCAGUACCAGAAGUGAGGAGAAAUCAGCUGGACCUAACAUUGGAACCAAUAUAUUCAUGUCAUCUUGGAUGCUUCACCACAUAAUUAUCAAUUUGGUCGAAGAAAUUAAUUAAAAUGGAAAACAGGAGAGAGAUUACUACAUGCUACCUCUCUGCUGCCUAUUUCUGAAGCUUUUGGUUUGUUAAUAUAUAAUUUAUAAUAUAUAUAUAAAUGGACAUGAAAAUUGUUCAAUGUAACAAAUGUCGCUAAGACUCUUUCAUGCUUUGCACGAUGAUAUAACAACUUUAAUCUCUACGAUCUUGAUGCAUCAUAAAAAUUUUUUGUAUAUAAUGAUAUGUCGGUCUGAUAUAUAUAUAUAUAUAUAUAUAAUACCUUUUUGUUAACAAAUUCUAAUUAUUUGAGCUUUUUUAUUGUUUAAAGAAAUUUUGUGUUAAUAAUAUUUUCUAAAUAUAUCUAAUAAAUAUAAUUAUAAUUGUAGGGACACGUGUCAAGUUUGCUAACAAAAGAAAAAAAAAAAAAAAAAAAAACAAAAGGAAAAAGGAAAAUCAAUAACUGAUUGCAGCAUGGUUGCUAGGGUUUCAUAUGCAUGGGUAGCGUUUUUGGGGUGGAGUGAGCAGAAGGGAAAGGAAUACAAUAUUUGGGUAUCUGGUUAGCCAUAUAGUUGGAUUAUUUGUUAUGUAGGCUUUAGAGGUUUUGAUUUGUGGCAAGAAAGUAAAAUCUACAUGCCUGUGCCUAGUUUGGCACUGGGUGUAUAUAUAAAUUUCAAAGAAGUCAGGAUAGCCUUUUCUUUUGUAUAAUAAUUUCAAAAGGGGGUGAAAAAUAUUGUUUACCAAAAAUUCAAAUAUGAAAUUAUACUUUCCAGUGAUUUCAUCAAAUAGAUUUAUAAUAGUUUUCAAAAGGCAUUUCUUUUCUCUCUUUCCUUUUCUCUCAAUCCUAACAACAGCCUAAAGUGACUUUGUGUAGUAUCACCGGCAGUAGCUAUCUUCUUGCUUUUAUUUCCUUUUUCUUUCCCUCUGUUCUUCUUUUUCCUUGUUCUUGUAGUUUUCUGCACCCUUCAGGGCUUUAUCCAGGGUCUCAUCCCUUAUUUUAUCAGGGUAGAUCAUGGAUCUACUCUUGUUUUGUGCAGAUAUGUGCAUGGUUUAUCUGCUUAAGAAAUUCUAUUUUUAUAUAGAGUUCCGGUAUUUCAUUCUAAGAGGCCAUAAGGGUGUUACAACACCGUUAAAAACUGGUGAUUUGGAGAAGUUUCUUCUCCCUCUCUCUAUUAGUAGAUUGUUUUCCCUUAUUGUUCUUGUUUGGGUUUGGCGGAUUUUAUGGUUUCACAUCUUUUCCCAGAUCUUGUAAUUUAUAUAUAUAUAUAUACAUAUACACAUACCAGUCAUAAUGUUCCUAGCUAAUGGUAAAGAUAAUAAAUAAUUAAUUAAGCACAGUACAGAGAUAUGAAAGAAAGGUAGAAAGAAUGUUGCCAGGAAUAAUUACUAGCUUGAACUCAACUGUGCAAAAGUAUCAAAACUGAAAAUAAUACUCAGCAAGGACGGUGGAGGAGUCUCGUCUACAUUGGAUGCAGCGAAAGCUGCUCAACUUAUGUUUUCUCCUUUCGAAAUCAAUUAGCAAAAUUUUAACAAAGAAAAUUAUGAGGAUAAUUAAGUAUGGUUUCAGUCAAAACUAGUUUUUACAAGUUAAUAGAGGUUCAUCUUACUAUAUCUAAUCAUUACUAUCUACGUAUUUUGCAUGCAAUACUUAAUGAUGUUUUACAAUAUUAAAUUAUUAAUUACCUUAUUUCAAAAAAAAAAAAAAUAUCAAUUACCUUUGCUGACGUCAGACAAACAAAAUAAAAUUAAUAUUACAUCCAAAAAUUGUCUAAUUGGCAAUUACACUUCUAAAAUUGAAAUUUAUGAAGAGGAAAUCAUUUAACAAAAAAAAAAAAAAAAAAAAGAUAAUGGCAUUUGAAAGGAAUUUACUUCUUAUAGUUAUGGGUCUGAACGUAUAAAAAUAUGAAAAAAUUGUGAAACGGGAUAUAAGUAAUAUUUCUCAUGUAUUUAAUAUUUGAUUUGGGAUUUUGAUAUUAGAGAAUAGACUUUCAAUCUAAAUCUCUAAUCAAAUUGUAUAUACACACAUCAUCAAGCUUGUAUCGAUACUUCACGUAGCUUCAUCAAAUACCAUCUCCUGCAACAUUAUCCAGAAGAGACUCAAAUUCAUUAGCAAUUACAAACUGCAGUAUAUAUCACAAAAUUACUUAAAAAGAAAUUAGUGUAAUACAAUUCCAGCUAGCAUAAAAAGAACAGGAAGAUAUUUUGAAAUGCCAAAUGAGUGUUUUGAUCAGCAUUUAUAUUUCUUAUUUGCAAUUAAUGCACAUAUAAAUAUAUAAUUACUUAAAAAGAAUAAUAAUUAUUUUUCUCUUCCUCAAAAGAAAAGGCAAAUAUAGAUUGAAGAAAUUAAUUACCUUAAAACAAAGGGGGCAGGAUUGGCUUCUUUCCAUCCACUCAUAUAUACAUCCAAGAUGGAAAUGGUGCUGGCAAUGUGUCACUAUCCUUGGAUUAUCAAAGCUAUAAUCUAUCAUCAACAACAAAUGUUGAGAAUUCAAAAAAAAGAUUAACAUUAAUCAUGACAUAAUGAGUAGACAAAUUGUGUUUAAUUUACCUUCAAGACAUGUGGGGCAAACAUCUUCAUCAUCCUGGGAAGCAUAUAAAUAAGUAAUUUCAGCUUCUAGUUUUGAUUCUCUAAUGGGAUGAGGAGACUUUGAUGAAUUGUUAUAAUCACUUGAUCUAACAAUAUCAAAUCCAUUUGUUAUUUGCUGUAUGUUAUUUUGUAAUUGACUUUCACUAUUUGCACGUGGGAGCUGCACCUGCAGCCGCGGCGGUGAUGGCAGCAGUGGCAGUGACGAAAGCCGUGGCAGCGGAGACUGUCCGUUGGAAUUCAUGGCGUGCAGUCCAGUAUUUGCUUCUGGCAGGACACUGGUAUCGCCUGUGUUGAACACUGUCGCAUACUGAAGGCAGAUGUGUAUUAACGCAACUUUAAGGCAAUUAUGAUGCUUAAUUAGGGUAAUUACCCUAGAAUUGUAUAAGGUCAUCAUCAUGAAUCAUGAUAGUAUAAUUACAGAAAAUAAUAUAUAUAACACUAAAAAGACGAAAACAUAAUAUUUGUGCUAAGACUCGUUCUAACAUUACCAUCAGAGUAGCUAUUCAGUAUUGCAAUUAAAUUGGUUAAUUUGAAUUUUAAGCUUAACUAACAAAUAAAAAUCAAUUGAUUAAACUAAUUAAACUUAAAUUUACCUUGAUGAAUAUGGUAUGAAUGAAUCCUUUGACAUUGGAGUUUCUGCUACUAUUUUCUGCAGGAUCCUCAGCAAGAAAGCAACUACAAAUAGAGCCCAUUAUCUAGCUUCUGCAAAAGAACGAACACCAUAUAAGCAAAUUAAGGUUGCCUGAAAUUAAGAAAUUAGUUAUCUUUUUUUUUUUUUUUUUUUUUAAAAUAUUGAUGAUGAAUAUAUUCAUCUUCACCUUAAUGAAGAAAAGAAUUGUUACUUUGCUAAUCCAAUAAUCAAAAGAGAAGACCCACAAGAAUAUUUACUUCAAAAGUUCGUUGCAGAUAUAUAAAUAAUAAUCUGCUAAUACUAUAUAUAUAAUGCAUAAAAGGGUAAACAGCUACUGACAUAAAAAAGAAAAGAAAAUUAAGGAAAAAGAAUUAGAUUGAUACUAAAAAUUACAACAGAUGAUCCUUCAUGCAUACCUCAGAAUUGAAAACGCAGCAUUCAACUUCGGAAUAAUAUGUCAAUGGUAAAUCCCCUCACUGAACUUAAAACUAAAACCCAAUAUCUUUGGAUGAGAAAGAAAAUUUCACAUAAAGAAAAAGGAAAGUAAGACCCAGAAAGAAUAGGAAUUCAUAACCAAACAAGGUUUUUUUUUUAAAAAAAAAAAAAAGAACGUAUUUACAUAGGAAUUUGGAAAAGAAGAUUCUGAAGUUGAGAAGUUUGUGUGUGAGCGAAUCCUAAUUUUGUAGGAUUCUUAGCCGAUAAGCGGAUUUUUUGGGUUUAAAAUAUGAAGAUCUGAAUUUGAAGCCCAUGCCCAAACAAUUGUUUUGUGGGUUUGUGAAUGGUAUGUAUUAUUAGGCCCAACGACAACGCGUGUUUAUAGCAAAUACAUCGCACGACGUCGUCUACUGAAUAAUUCAAGUAAAACUAAAAUUUUAAAAUUAUAUAUAUAUAAAAAUUGUUUUCUCACUAUUAUCUCAUGCUCUUUGAGAGACAAAUUUUAUUUUGUCUACUCGAGAUGAAAAUUAAAAAACAAUGCUAUUAGUUCACCUGUAAUUCAGAGUUGGUAAAUGAUAAACUUUUGAAAAGUAUGGUCCACUCAAUUUGCAUUUUUCUCCACAAAUGAAAACUUGCGGUCCAAUUCAUCAAAAAUAUAAAAAUAAUAGAUCUAAGGUUAGGAAUUUAAUCUCAAAAUGAUACAUAUUAGGAAAAGUAAACCCACUGAUUAGUUUUACUUACCUAGUUAAAUUAGCUAUCUAAUUCUGUCGCCAAACUAACUAACAAUGAUUCCUAUUAAGUUGACAAUUUUCCCUUAAUUAAUAAAAAAUUUCCCUCUUCAAGUUCAUGGCAAUCAUAACCCUUUUCUUGAAGACUGCUAUAGAUAUGAAGAACUGCAAAUUCUUACUUACAAAAGCCUAGUAUUUGGAAUCCAAAGCUUCCAGCUAGUAAUUAAGGCAGAAAGCACACGCAGGGUAAGAAGCCAGACAAGGUCAACAAAAAUUCCUUUUCUAUUUUGUUCAUAAUUAGAAUGCAAAUGUAUAUUAUUAAAAAAAAAAAAAAAAAAAAAAAAAAAAAAAAAAAGAAGAAGAAGAUAUUGUAUCUGUGGAUGCAACUUGUUCAAUUAAUUUAAAGAUUGAAAAGACCUCUUAACCAUCUAAUAUUUUUGGGAAGUCAGUGAAGGUUGUUGAAUCUUUACUUUGAAAAAAUAAUGCAUAGCCUUUCUCGAUUUUGCAAAAAGUCUAGUCCCGGUCCCUCAUUUCAUCUUUGCUUUUUUCUCAUUUAUAAACAGACUUAACAAAUCAGAAAUAUAUUACUUAUAAUUAUUAUUAUAAAUAUUAAUCAUAAUUUUAAUAAUUUAAGAAUAAAAAAUAAUUACAAUUGUUUAUAUUAAUAAUAGUAAUUAACUCUUACCAACAAUAUAAGUAAAUAUUUUAAUAAUUGAUUUUAUAUAUAACAUGCAAUUCUUCUUAUCUUUUUUGGUAUACAGAUUGACUCAUAUACCGAGUAAUUUUUUUCUGUAGAUUAUAACCAUAAAUUUUGAAAAUAAAAUUAAUUUUAUAAAAGGGGAAAUAAUACUUUGUUAAAAAUUAAAAAAAAAAUUAAAAUUUUAGAAAAAUUAAUUUCUAUCAGUGCUCCUGCGUCUCUCGGUAUGUCUAUCCCAAAUCAAUAUUUGCUUUGGCAAAUAUUUAAAUCAUGAGGUUGACUCUUUCGAAAAGAAACAUAAAAAAGAUUUAUAGGUUGAAUAUUUUCUUUUCUUUCUUUUAAUUGUAAUCAUGAAAUCAUAUAGCGUGUGAACCACGUUUAGUAUACCAAUAUAUAUAAAUAUGCAAUAAAAUUAAAAUCAAACUUAUACCUAAUAAUUAAAUUGCAAUCUUAUUUUGAUCAAUGCCCAAGAUGUUGCAAAUGGUAAAGUAAGAGAGUAAUAUCCAUAUGCAAAGAAUAAUUACCAUCAUCUUAUCUAAAAGAUUAUAGCCUUUUACCUAAUGGAGGAUAAUACUACUCAUGAGUCUCUCCUUUCUUUCUUUUUCUUUUUUUUCAAUUAUUUUUUGUUUUUCUUAAUUAAUUUUUAUGAUGAGGGUAUAAUGAGUUCUAGGAUUACAUAAUCAAAGAGCCAAAUUGCAAGUUAGCAACUAUACCUUUAAUAAAUCAAUACUUUGAGCUAUAUAAAUUUAUAUUUUAUUACAUUUUGUAAUCCAAAAGGUGAAUAAAUUAUAUAGCAAACUAACUCUAAUAGCUGAACUAAUUUAUUCGUUUCUCAUAGACAAUUUUAAAUGGAGGCUAUCAUUUUUAAAACUUAGGGAGUAGCCACACUUGAAUGCCUAAAAUUCAUUCUAUAUCAAACAUCAAUAAUGCUCUUGCAUUGCCCUUUUUUCUUUUAUUUCUUACUGUCUGUAGAAGUGAGUAUAUAUGUUUUUAUUUUUUAUUUUUAAAAAGUUAUAUAUAUUAUGAUUAUGUUUAUGUUUUAGAAGUUAAAAGUAUCGUUUUAUAGAAGGUUAAUUAUAAAAAUUAAAUGUUUAGUUUUUGAUAUUUUAUAAAAAACUACUCAAACAGUUGCUAACUACUUAAACAACUAAAACACUUUUAAAAUAAUUAAUAACUAUUAAAAAACUAAUUUUGUUGAAUAGACACUAUCUAUUAAUUUUAAAAAAAUUAAAGCUAUAAGCUAAACCAAAUAUUUUGGCUUAUUCCUCUAGUUGAGCAUAUCAAAUUUUAUCCGGUCCAUGUUCUAUUCAUUAUCAUUAAUUAUCAAUGUGGAGGUCUAUAUAGAAGAGCAUCUCCAACGCAACCGUUGAUUGUAUUAAUUUAUUUGUUACGUUUAAAAAAUUGAAAGUUAAAAAUAAAAAUUUUCUUUAAUGCUAUUGUCUGUUCAAUCUGUGAGUCUGAUGUGUCAAAAAAAAAAAGAGACAUUGUCUAUCACGCUCUCUAUUUUCAGAGGGUCUGUUAGACAGCGCGACUCAAUUUUUUGUUCUUUUUUUCCUAUUUAUUUAUUUAUUUUUUAUUAUUUUCCUCCUUUAUUUGUGCUUAAACUUUUUCUUGCGCUAAAACUGAUUUCUUCUUUGUGCAUUGGAGAACCAUUUUUUAAACUCUAACAUCUAUAAAUACACAUUCAGUCACGUCACAAUCCAUAACUUCUAUUUAUUAAAAUACAUCAAUCACAAUCCAUAAUUGCAUUGUACACGCUCUAAUGCAUGCCAAUUGCCAAAUUUAUGUAACAACCUUUUGCUACUUUUGUUUUAGUCGAGACUUGAGUGCACCAUUGUCUUAUUUCUUCUAAUCUUCUUUGGACGACAUUUUUUUAAAAUAUAAUAUAGAUUAGUUAAUAAAUAAUCUUGCAUGUUUUGGCUUAAUACUUGGUUUUUUUUCUCUUUUCCUGUGAUAAAUUAUUUCAACAGGACUUUGAACUUUUUUUUUUCUACAGCAAAAUUGGUAAUUCAUAAUGAAUAAUGAGUAAUAUACGAUAACUAUAUCAUAAUAGUUUCAAAAAAGAAAUAAGAAUUAAAAAAAAUAUUUUGAAUUUAAAUAUAAAAAGUUUGAAUUUGACUGAUUAGAUUUUAAUUCAGAAAUUGAAUAUUUAAUAUGUAAUAUACAGAUUUGGGAUUUAAAUCUUAACUACCACAUUUUUUAAACAUAUAUAAUUUUAAUUAUAUUAAGAAAUUUCACUCUAGAGAUAGGAAAAACGUAAAAUUCCAAAUUCCAAUCAAGCCAAUAGCUAUUUAACUAAAAACAAAUAAAUUAUAUAUAUAUAUAUAUGAAAAAAAAAGUGCUUAUAACAAAGGAUAUGAAUUAAUGAUGCCAACCAUAUGGCAAGAAACAAUGAGAUUGAAAUUGCCGAAAGGAGUGGAAAGCACAUAAUAAGAUUAUAUUAUACAAUUUUAAUUAAAAUAUAGAAAAAUACCAUAGCUGGUCAAUAAGAGUACUGAUUGGCCCUACACUUUCAUGAAAGCACGUUCAUCAAUAGCCCCCCGCAAAGGGGAAAUAAAUAAAAGAAACUAACAUCAUUAAAUAACAAAUAAAAUAAAAUAAAAAGCAAUAUAUAUAUAUAUAUAUAUAUAUAUAUUAAAGCAACAUGGAUAAUAGUGGUCCAACCGUAACCAACAUUUGGAAAUUUGGCCAAGUAUUAAGAAGCAUUUUUUCAUAAUUAUUACAUAUUCUCUUCAUCUUCUUCUUCUUCUUCUCAUAUAAUAAUUGCUUUCUCCUUGACAUUUACUCUCCAACCAGUAGAGAAAUAUGGGAAAGUCAGGCACAAGGUUACCAAGCUUUUGCCUCAAUAGAAUUAAGCCUCAUGUUAAAAUUGUUCGUUCACCGCCCAUACAAUCCAAGCCUAAUAUUAACAGUCUUAAUUCAUCUUCUACAAGUACUAAAAAUGAUCAGAAGAUUGAGAAUCCAGAAGAAGAGAAAUCUAGUGGAGGAGUGAUCAAACCGUUGAAUGUUAUUGGAAGGAAGAUCAUGAUUGUGGUUGAUUCAAGUUUUGAAGCUAAAGGAGCUUUGCUUUGGGCACUUUCUCAUACUGUUCAAAGUCAUGAUCUUCUCGUUCUUCUCCAUGUAACUAAAGCAUCUAAACAAGGUUUGUUUUUGUUUUUAUUAGUUAAUUUCUUUUUCAAUUGUAUUAUAUAUUUUCUGAUUAUUCAGAGAAAUUUUCUUGAAACAGCCACAAUUGCAAUUGAAGAGUCUAGCAGGGAGCAGAGAGCUCCUCCGAGGGCUUAUGAACUUGUAAAUUCCUUGAAGAACAUGUGCCAAUUAAGGAGACCUGAAGUGGGUAGCUAUUGCUGCAUUUAUUUAUUUUGGGUAGAUAUAAGAUUUUAUUAUGUAGAUGUGUAAGAAAUAUAAGUUUUAAUUAAUCUGCAGAUACAAAUAGAGAUUUCAGUUGUAGAAGGAAAGGAGAAAGGGCCAUUAAUAGUGGAAGAAGCUAAAAGACAAGGAGUGGCACUUCUGGUUCUAGGGCAAAAGAAGAGAUCGAUGACAUGGAGAUUGAUAAUGAUGUGGGCAAGCAAUAAGGUAACAGGUGGAGGAGUUGUAGAAUACUGCAUCCAAAAUGCUGAUUGUAUGGCCAUUGCAGUUAGAAGAAGGAGCAAAAAAGGUGGAGGCUAUUUGAUCACCACUAAGCGUCAUAAAGAUUUCUGGCUCUUAGCUUAAUUAAUUAAUUUAAUUAAUGUCUAAUUAUUUUAUUUCUUUUCUUUUCUUUUUAUUAAUAUAUGUACACUUUUUUCCCUGGUCUUGAUGUCCUGUGGAUUGCUAUUUGUUUAUUUUUUAAUUUGUAAACAUUGCUUUUGUAAAUGAUAAAGUGUAAUAAUACAUGAAAAGGGCAUUGGGGUGUGAACUAAAUGAAGAAAAAAGGCAUGAUAGGUCAUUAUUUAGGGCAUUUACUGUUGAGGGAGAGAGACAAAGGGGUCCCUUUAGGGUCUCUUCCGUAAGCUACAAUGGCUGAGAAAGGCACAUGGCUCUUCUUUUAACUUUUUCUUGAUGAUAUGACCUAACUCGGUUAAGACUAUAAAGAAGUACUGACGGAGGAAGAUAUCAUCAAAAUAAGGUAUAGCAUUAAAAUAAGUUACAGUAAAAUAUAGUAUGAUAAAUGACUUUUUGGUAUUUGUACGGAAGAUACAGUAAAUGAAAAUUUAAUCAAGUUGUUUUGUUUGGUUUGACAGUAGAUGAAGAUAGUGUUAAAUAUAAAUAUUAUAAAAAUAUUUUUGUCAUGGAAGAUUUAUAAAUAUGAUUAUAGAUAAUUUUAGAAGUUAAAUUUUUUAACUAUGCUUAAAUCUCAAUUCAGAAUGUUGAAGAUUGAGUUAUUUAGACAUGUUUUCAACCUCUCAAAUAACUUUUAAAUAUUAUAUUCUCUCUAACUCUCUUUCCAAAUAACUAAAUAAUUUGCCUUACUUUACUUUCCAAAACUAACAAGUAACUUCCAUCCAAACAAUUAAGGUUCUGCAAUUUAGAAUAAGGACACUUUCGUAAAUAUCCAACGGGCAGCAAUAUGUAAUUGACUUCUUUAUAUAUAUAUAUAUAUAUAUAUAUAUAUAUGAUUACACCGCUGUGUUAAAUUUAAUGAUUCUUUACAUUUUAUAAAAAUUAAAAAAAUGAUUGAAUCGCCUUAAUUCUAGUAGAAACAAAACACUUCAUCUUCCAUUUUAUUUGUAUGUUUUGACAAAAUAUGAAUAUUAAGAAUUUAGUUAAUAAAAAUUAUUUUUUAUUUUGUUUACUUUUAACUUAUUAAGGUAUUAAUAGAAUUUUUUCAUUUAAUUAAUAAUUAUAAAGGUCAUCACGGAAAAAAUAAUUAUUUAUAUGUAUAUAUUUACAAUCCUUAUAAACAUUUUGGGAUAUCCAAAAAAGAACUAACAAGGAAAUAAAAUGAGACAUAAUUAGUAGUAAUUAACUAAAUUAUGCUUUUAAUAUAUACUCAUUUAAUUGAAAAAAUUUUUAAUAUAGCUAUUUAUGCUAUUCAAUUUUUUAUGAUACGUAAAUAAAAAAAUAAAAAAUUUAGCAUAAGAAUAAUAAUUUAAGUGACAAUUUUUCAGGAUUUUAGAGUUCCAAGAUUUUAGAUUUUAUGAUUUCAUUAGGAUUUUUUGUUUUUUGAGUUCAUUAGGAUUUAGAAUAUAUACAAAUUUUAUGAUUUGAUUAACAUCUAAAGCUUAAUGUAAUUUUAUUAUUUUUAAUUAUAUCCAUAGGUCACGACUCAAGAGUAUAAUAAUGAAUACGAACCAAUGUAAUAAAUAACCACCACACGAACUGAAUUACUAGGGUAGCGGAAGACGCCCCAGUACUGGCAGUAAUCAUUCACAGUCGGUCCAAGAGAGGAUAUCUUUGGGCCUGAAAUUAAAAGCUAUAGCCCAUGUGGUUGUCCAUUAUUCCUCUUGAUAGGUCUACUUGUAAUAUUUUUUUUUUAGGGACCUACUUGUAAUAAUUCAGGUUAGGUCCUACAUAUAUAAUAAUUAACAUCAUGACCAGGCAUUUAUAGAUCUUUUGCUACAUGAAAUUGAGUAAAAUGGAGAAGAGGGCAGCCAGAUUUUGCAAGGACGAGCUGCACUGUACUUAUUCUUUCUUCUUCCUGCUUGACAAGAAAUUAAAAACUCAAGAAUUCUAGAAUUAUUUUUAUAUCAACAUGCAGAACAUUACUUUAUACAAACGAGAAUCCUAAAGCUGAGACACAGAAAUUAACAGAUUGAAAUAAGCAUAAUUCCUUUAUUUCAUCCAAUAACACAUCUUAUUGAUUACUAAUUACUUGCCACGAAGACUACGAAAAUAAGCGGCAGGAUCUUUAUCAAAAUCUUCCCUGGGGAUUCGAAAAUCUUUUCCUGGAGCUUUCAUGGUCUUUCUGGAUGACCCAGAGGAUGCCUGUGAUACAAUUCUAGCUAUCACAUAUGCAAUCGCAGCAAUCACUGCUACUGCACUUAAAAACACACCUAUUCCAGAACCCUCAUUCUUUCCAGACAUUUUUUUUUUCUUCCCUUAUGUCUUUCUUUUUACGAUUACUUUGUGCCAAGGAAGAGAGAGCAGAUUGGACAUUUUAUAGUGUAAAGCUAACCCUGGAAUUAGAUACCUAAAAUGUUAGUGGUGGUGCCCGCUGGCGGUACCACUCAAGGUUGAGACCCACGCUUUUGUUUUGAAAAAAAGGAGAGAAAACGCGUUUUGCUUUUAUAGAAGAGGAUUUGCUUCAUCUGCACGCACUAACAAAAAGGAGAGCAAAGAACUCGUAUGUAGAGGUAAGGAUUUUCUAUAAUAGACAGAGAAAAAUAAUGAAAAAAUUAUUUUUAUGUAUUUUUGUAAGACAUUUUGAGUGUUAUUAUUUUUGUAUUCUCUUUGUAAUAUUAUUAUUUUUAAUAGUGGAAGAAUCGUUCGGAGUUUGUCCAUGGACGUAGCCCUAAAUAGUUAAAGGUAAAUCACUUAAAUUUCUGUGUGUUACAAUUUUAAUUUUUCACUGAUUAUUUUCGUAAUUUUAUCACCGGGGCCUAAGGUAAAAUGGGAUAAUGUUAUUUAAUGACGUCUUGUGGUACCGAUAAUGUUCUGGGAAUUACAGUCAUUUAUUUCUUGUCUUUUUAUUUGAAAACAUUUGUAUCCAUUGAUUUAAUUUUGACUCAAUUUUAUUCCUUAUCAGAUCAGAUCAAAAGCAGAUGCUGCUUAUAGUGCGUUGUAGGAACUUGAUGCAACUUCCUGUCGCUUGGGUUGACGACUUGGCGUGCGAGCGUCAGCUAUUAAUGAAAUAAGAAUUUUCGAAUGUGAUGAUUUGAUUUCCCAAUAAACUAUCUUUUGGGAAUACGAUUUUUCAUUAAAUAAUUACAUUGGUACCGAAUGAUUUCAUUAAAUAAGAGCAAAUCAAGUCAAAAGCAGAUAGUCUUUUGUAAAAUCCCAUUUAUGACUCGACAAUUCCCAGGUUGCUAUUUUUACACUAUAAAAUCACCUGCCCGGUCUUUCUUGCUUGUUAACAAAGCUAACAGAUAGUAUAAACAAAUUUAUCGAAAAUGUCAAGCAAAAACCAAGGUUCUGGUUGCGGAUCUGGAAAGGGAGCGCCUCAGGGUGCUUCAAAGGGCACUGGGAACACAUGUUCUGCGUCUAAGUCUGGCAAUGAUACAAUGAAAGCUCCAGGCCAAGAUUUUCAGAUUUCUAGGAGUGCCUUUGAAAAGGAUCCUGCAGGUUAUUUUAGGGAGAAUCGUGAAAAGAAAUGAAGAACGUAUCCAAUAUUAUAGUAUAUAUAUAUCUAAAUAAAUUAGGGAAUGGAUUAAUAUAAAUGAUGCUUGUUGGAUGUUGCUGUGGGUUGUUUGUAUCUAUUUGGUGAAAUGAAAUUUGGAUUCUGGUUGUUUUAGUAAUUCUGUAUUCUUUUUGCCUUUCUGUCUCUUUUUACUUAUUCAGAAUUAUAAUUUUAUUUUUGAUUAUGUUUAAAUUAUUCUAAAUAUAGUUGCAAGAUCUAAAUGCAAUAUGAAUAAAAUGAUAGUAAAUUAAUAAAUCUAAAAUAGUUCUUUCAAAAUGAAGAGAUCAAAUUAACCAGUAGAAAAAUAUUUUUAUGUUUUAGAUAAAAACCUCAUACAAAAUGAGUGGAUUUGAAAAGUAGAUUGAAGUUAUUAAUGAAUUUUUAAAAAAUUAUAAAAUAAAUAAAUAUAAGAUGGGCCAGUUAAUUAUUUUGGGCUAUGAACUUGAUUUUUACUGUUGGCCCUGUCAGUAAGUUGCUUGAUUAGGAAAAGCAAUUUGAAUUUUUAUUAAAAAAUUAAUAGGUUUGGGUUGGAUUUGGAUUUAUUGAUGGGUUUGAAUUUAGAUUUACCAUGUUCAUGACAUUAUCCUUUUAACCCAAUUAUAUCGUGAAAAUAAUCGUGUGUUAAUGACAUUAAUAGUAAUAAACAAAAGUAAAUAAAUUAUGCUAUGAGUUUUAUUUUUAUCAAAGUAACUUCCCUCGCUCACCCAUGGGAAGUGGACUUCCUUAGCUAAAAAAUUUCACAUUCUCUAUUUUAUCGGUUAAAUACAUAAUUUAAUUUUUGAAGUUUAAUAAAAAAAACUUUGUGGUACCAUUAAUUUUAAAAUCAAUCUUGUAGUAUCCUCAAUUUCUCUUUUUGUAAUAAUCUCACUAUUUAUUACGUUAAAAACAAUAGAUUUUUAAGUUUUUUGGCUUUCAUAUGCAAAAUAUGGAUCGGAUGUGUUGUGAAUAUAAAUUUAAAAUAAUAAUUUUACAUUUUUCAAUUAUCCGAUAAGUAUUUAAUUGAUUUAAUUUUAUAAGUUGAAGUGAAAAUUGAAAAUGUCAUAAGAUUUUGGUAAGAAGUACAGAAAUAAAUUUAUAUAUUGAUCCUUAUUUGGCGGUUUUAUGCUUUCAAUGCACAUGUGUCCAUCCAUGUGAAUACAAUUUCUUCUUUUUACUUUGAUCUUAUUUGUACUUCGAAUUCAGCAAUGCUCUUUUCUUAUUAGUUAUAUUUUUUUAAAGGAAUUAUUACUCUUAUUUAGUUAUAGUUACAUUGUCAAAUCCAUUUCAACUCUGACAGGGAACUCAUGUCUUCUUGUCUUGCACUAUCCUUAGAUUUGUUGUAGUUAAAAAAAUAAGCAAAAUAUUAACUCUACACUAAACAAUUUAAUAGUGACAAUUAGCACAAAUAAGGUUAUUUUUGUCCAAAUGACUAUUUGCGAUUUGGGGAAAAAAACAAAUUUAAAGAGAAAAUGUAACAAGAUUUUCUCUCUUUUUUCUCUCGUUUUGUAAUUCUAAUUUUAGUUUUGAGCUGCUAUUAUUUAUCAGCGGUAAUCCUUACCUCCUACUUUCUACUAUCUUUUUUGCUUCACCUUCUUUUGCUUUUAACCUUAUUUUGCUUGAAUAAACUCAGAGCUGUUUUUUCUAUAACAUUCUUUUUUUUUUUUUUUCGGUUGUCUCCAUAUUUGAGUUUUUUUAUCUUAUAUUUGAGUUUUUUUAUCAUUUCUUUGUGACGGUUUAUUACUAAAUAAAACUAUGAUAUGUCUUGUGUUUUAACAAUUUAAAUUACAGAAUAUGAUUCCAGUGAUGAUCACAAGCGUAGAGAUGAUGCUUGGAAGGUGAAGGCAAUAUGAAAAAAAGGAGAUUGAUGUAUGGAAAGAAUUCAAGCAAUUAACAUCUGAUGUAAUUUCCAGGACAGCAUUUGGAAGCAGAUAUUUGGAAGCACAGGAUAUUUUUGACAUGAUAAUGGAGAUUCUUAUUCUUGCUUCACAGAAUAGUUUUGGAGUCGGAAUACCUUUAAUAAAGUAAGAUUCUUUUUCUUCUCCUUUCGAUAAUUAUUUUAUAUGCAGAAAUGUUUGAGUUAAAGAUGUCUGCUUCCACUAUGGCAGGAAAUUUAUAAAAACAAAGGAUGAUAUCAAAUCAGAUAAACUUGAGCGAAGGUUACGAUAAUCCAUCUUAAAGAUGAUAAGGAAGAGGGAGGAGGAAGCAAAUAUGGGUGAACCCGAUAGCCAUGGAAGUGAUUUUCUUGGAGUGCUCCUUAAGGCAAACCAGGAUCCAAAUAAGAGCAAGAAAAUAUCCAUAAACGACAUAGUUGAUGAGUACAAAACAUUUUAUAUUACUGGACAAGAAACAACUAAUGCUGCACUUAAUUGGACUAUUUUUCUUUUAGCAAUUCACAUAGUCAGAGAAAUUUUCUUGAAACAGCCAAAAUUGCAAUUGAAUAGUCUAGCAAGGAGCAGAGAGCUCCUCCAAGGGCUUAUGAACUUGUAAAUUCCUUGAAGAACAUGUUCCAAUUAAGGAGACCUGAGGUGGGUAGCUAUUGCUGCAUUUGUUUAUUUUGGGUACAUAUAAGAUUUUAUAAUGUAGAUGUAUAAGAAAUAUAAGUUUUAAUUAAUCUGCAGAUACAAAUAGAGAUUGCAGUUGUAGAAGGAAAGGAGAAAGGGCCAUUAAUAGUGGAAGAAGCUAAAAGGCAAGGAGUGGAACUUCUGGUUCUAGGGCAAAAGAAGAGAUCGAUGACAUGGAGAUUGAUAAUGAUGUGGGCAAGCAAUAAGGUAACAGGUGGAGGAGUUGUAGAAUACUGCAUCCAAAAUGCUGAUUGUAUGGCCAUUGCAGUUAGAAGAAGAAGCAAAAAAGGUGGAGGCUAUUUGAUCACCACUAAGCGUCACAAAGAUUUCUGGCUCUUAGCUUAAUUAAUUAAUUUAAUUAAUGUCUAAUUAUUUUAUUUCUUUUCUUUUCUUUUUAUUAAUAUAUGUACACUUUUUUCCCUGGUCUUGAUGUCCUGUGGAUUGCUUUUUUUUUUUUCUAUUAUUAUUAUUUAAUUUGUAAACAUUGCUUUUGUAAAUGAUAAAGUGUAAUAAUAAGUGAAAGGGGCAUUGGGGUGUGAACUAAAUAAAGAAAAAAGGCAUGAUAGGUCAUUAUUUAGGGCAUUUACUGUUGAGGGAGAGAGACAAAGGGGUCCCUUUAGGCCUUUUGGGUCUCUUCCGUAAGCUACAAUGCCUGAGGAAGGCACAUGGCUCUUCCUUUAACUUUUUGUUGACGCCAGACGAAGAUAGUGUUAAAUUUAAUAUUACGAAAAUAUUUUUGUUAUUAAAGAUUUAUAAAUAUAAUUAUGAAUAAUUUUGAAAAUUAAAAUUUUUAACUAUGUUUAAAUAUUAAUUUGGAGCGUUGAAGACUAGGGUAUUUAGACGGGCUUUUAACCCCUCAAAUAACUUUUAAAAACGCUUUCUCAAAUUCUUUUCCCAAAAGACUAAAUAACCAUCUUCUGCCUUACUUUACUUUCCAAAUCUAUCAAGUAACUCCAUCCAAAUAAUCUGUUAAGGUUCUGCAAUUUAUAAUGAAGGACACUUCCGUAAAUAUCCAACAGGCAGCUACAUGUAAUUGACUUCUAUUUUUUUUCAUAUGGUUAUUACACCGUUGUGUUAAAGUCAACGGUUCUUUACAUUUUAUAAAAAUUAAGAAAAUGAUUGAAUCACAUUAAUUUUAGCAGAAAUAAAAUAUUUUAUCUGUCUCAUUUUAUUUGUAUGAUUUGAUAAAAUACGCAUAUUAAAAAUUUAGUCAAUAAAUUUUAUUUUAUAUUUUAUUUACUUAUAACUUUUUAAGGCAUUAAUAGUACUUUUUCGUUUAAUCAAUAAUCAUAAAGAUUAUCAAAAAAAAAAAAAAAUUUACAUACAUAAAUUUACAAAAAAAAAAAAAAUAAUAAACAAACAAAAUGGGAUGGAAGAAAUAGUAAUUAACUAAAUUAUGCUUUUAAUAAACACUGAUUUACUUGAAAAAAAUUUUAAUAUAGCUAUUUAUGCUAUUCAAUUUUUUACGAUACGCAAAUAAAAAAAUAAAAAAAUUAUCAAAUUUAACAUAAGAAUAAUAAUUUAAGUUACUAUUUUCCAGGAUUUUAGAGUUCAAGAUUUUAGAUUUUAUGAUUUCAUUAGGAUUUUUUGUUUUUUGAGCUCAUUAGGAUUUAGAAUAUAUACAAAUUUUAUGAUUUAAUUAACAUCUAAAGCUUAAUGUAAUUUUAUUAUUUUUAAUUAUAUCCAUCCGUCAGGACUCGAGUAUAAUAAUGAAUACGAACCCACGUAAUAAAUAACCACCGCACGAACUGAAUUAAUAGGGCAGCGGAAGACGCCCCAGUACUGGCAGUAAUCAUUCACAGUCGGUCCAAUAGAGGAUAUCUUUGGGCCUGAAAUUAAAGGCUAAAGCCCAUGUGAUGGUCCAUUAUUCCUUUUGAUAGGCCUACUUGUAAUAAUUUUUUUUGAGGGACCUACUUGUAAUAAUUCAGGUUAGGUCCUACAUAUAUAAUAAUUAACAUCAUGCCCAGACAUCUAUAGAUCUUUUGCCACACGAAAUUGAGUGAAAUGGAGAAGAAGAGGGCAACCAGAUUUUACAAGGACAAGCAGCACUGUACUUACUUUUUCUUCUUUUUGUUUCUGCUUGACAAGAAAUUAAAAACACAAGAAUUCUAGAAUUAUAUUUUAUAUGAACACGCAGAACAUUACCUUAAUACAAACGAGAUUCCUAAAGCUGAGAGACAGAAGUUGACAGAUUGAAAUAAGCAUAAUUACUUCAUUUCAUCCAACAACACAUCUUAUUGAUUACUAAUUACUUGCCACGAUUAUUACGAAAAUAAGCGGCAGGAUCUUUCUCAAAUUCAUCCCUGAAGAUUCGACCAUCUUUUCCUGGAGCUUUCAUGGUCUUUCUGGAUGACCCAGAGGACGGCUUUGAUACAAUUUCAGCUAUCCCAUAUGCAAUCGCAGCAACCCCUACUACUGCACCUAAUAACAUACCUAAUCCAGAACCCUCAUUCUUUCCAGACAUUUUUUUUCUUCCCUUAUGUCUUUCUUUUUACGAUUACUUGGUGCCAAGAAAGAGAGAGCAGAUUGGACAUUUUAUAGUGUAAAGCUAACCCUGGAAUUAGAGCCCUAAAAUGGGAUAAUGUUAUUUAAUGAAGUCUUAUGGUACCGAUAAUGGUCUUGUUGUGGGUCCCUCCGACAUGUG